RNAcentral lists this long non-coding RNA (56572 nucleotides) under Phaseolus vulgaris (common bean). RNAcentral describes it as "long non-coding RNA (PVUL_LNC004295)". The record is from RNAcentral. Lineage: Eukaryota; Viridiplantae; Streptophyta; Magnoliopsida; Fabales; Fabaceae.
GGAAUCGAGGUAGAUCCUAAUGUCAUGCUUGGCACGCUUAAGGACAUGGUUAAGGGAACGCCAUUUAUGGCGAUCCAUUGGGCGAAGGCGCUUCUUGCCAUGAUGGUAAGGACCUAUCGACACAAUCUGCGGAGCAAAAGCUUUAUCAUCACCAGUACUAUCUCUAAGGUAAUGGGGGAUUUUGUAGAUUGAUAGUUUGGACCAUGAACUUGCUACAUCAUCUUGACCUGCCUGCUCUAGUUUUUCCUUGAUGAACACCACCCAUUCAGAUCCUGGUGAGUUUGGUUCCUCCCGUGAUUUUUCGCCAUCUUCACUGAUGACAACUUGCAAUGAUUCUGUAGGUUCCUGCUGAAGUUUGUCCUCCUGCUGCUGCUGCUGCUGGGGAAACUCUAUUGAUCGGUUCCCUGAAUUAGGAGGAGAAGAUGGAAUCCCGGAUUCCAAGGUUUCUCUGAGUUUAAGGGUGAUGAGAUACCAGCUCAAGAGCUCUUGGUUGAAUACAGCUACCAUUUCUUUAAGGGAAUGGUGUUCUGUUUCUUGUCAAUGACCUCUGGUGCUGCCAAUUCAUAGCCUGAAAUGACCUUGACGUUUUCAAUAGAAUGUAGUAAUUGACUUGAACAAAUUGUGCAGCUCAUAUGGGACCCUUUUGGGCCUCAUAACAACGCUUCCAAUCUGUAUGUAGCACGCCAAAUUAUGUUGGAAAUACCCUUAUCCUAAAAUAUGCUUAUGGCAUCAGAUCAUGAAUAAAAGUUCACAAUAAUGAGAAACUAUGGAAUCAUAUGCACUUGCAAAUUCCUACGCAUACCAUACACUAUCACCCUUUUCACCCUUUCAACUUUACUGCUUCUUUUCACCCACUCUUAAUUGCUAUUUUUACUAGAUUAACUUGCUAAAUCAUAUUCCCAACCUAUCAUAUUAUACCAAACUACUGAGAUUUUUAUGGAGAAAAAAUCACGUCUGAAACAAAGUUGUAUGAAAGAAGUAAGGUGGGUGUGAGCAGGAACAAAAGUGGGGAAAACGUGAAAGAAUUCAAAAUUUGCGAUGUCUCUCAUUGUUCAUCAAGCAUUGGAGCAUAUCCCAAUCUUAAAUUCUAAACUAUUCAGCUAAAUAACUUUACAACAGAAACAAUGAAUAUAUAACUGUAAACCUCAAUACAAAAGCAUCUUACCAAUCUUCUACUCACUAAAUAAUUUAAAAAGUGAAGAAUGUUUUUGUAAUUCCUAAUUUUUCUCUAUUUUUUUUAAUUUAUAGAUUAUUGUAAUUAUCAUAUUAAUUUGAAAGUUAGGUGGAAGACUAUAACUCUUAUAGUUAUAAUGACUUAGAUUCUCUCUUUAAAUUUACUAGUGAAUAAAUAUAUCCUUGAUUAUAGGAAAAGUUAUUACAUUGACCAUCUAUAUAUUUUUCUAUAAUUGUUGCCUAAGCUAGGUCAUACCUACCUAUAUGUAUUAAGAAAGAAACUUCAUUAUAAAGACCACGAGUAAGAUUAACAAUGUCUAUUAGUAAAUAACUCUUGAAUCUUAAUAAAGUAUCAAUGUGUCAGUAUACAAUCUUCUAUUUUUAGUGUAAAAAAGAAACAACCUCAUCAUGAAAAUUGCUAGCAGUACAAUUUUUAUUCACUUAUUAAAAGAUAUUGGGAGCAUAUAAAACUACUAUAGAAUGCAUGUUUUGAUCUUCUAUGCCUAAAUGAGAAGAGAGGAUACAGAUAUUAAAUUGGUACCCCAUAUACCCUAAAAUAUUUAUAACUUCAAAAAAGUAGUUAAACUUUUGACCUUGAUAUCAGCUUUACAGCAAACAACUUGCAGAUUUAAAUAUGAGCAUAAUUAUCCAUGGCAGGCAAGAGAAAAUGACCUCAUUCCUCAUUACCUGGUCAAGCUCUUAUAUUUCUGCUUUAAUAUUUAAACAUGUGACUGUUUUCCAGGAAUAUUAAAAGAUCUUGGUCCAUGGCUAAACUAACAAUCUCUUGCGUGAAUUUUAAGUGAAGAAAAUACCUAACUGUCACUGCUGAAUUGUAGAAGUCUGAGUAAACACUGCUAAAAAAUAAAAUACAUUCAUUUAAUACCACUACAAUAUAAAAUAUUUCUUUAUUUUCUAAUAUAAAAUUAUAAUAUAUAUUAUUAAAGUUAGUUGUUAGAUGAGAACAAAAAGUAAUCUUUUGUGGGAUCAUCAAAUUAGAAGUUGGAACAUCUAUUAUUUGAGAAAGUUACUAGCAAGCUUUUUUUUUUCUUUCAAUUUCUAGAGUUCUGCAUAAAAUAACAGGGAAUCAAAGUAUUCGCAACUUUUCAAGCAAAAUAAUGUGGAAAUCCUAAAACUAGAAUAUUCAGGGUGUAGGUAGCGUUGUUUCCAAAAACAUAAACUUCAGUGUUGUGUUUGUUUCUAGUUUUUACUGUGACAAAGAGAGAAGGACGUAAAUCUAUGUGUUUGUGGAAACAACAUAAACUUUAGUGUUCUGUGUGUUUGUUUCUAGUUUUUACAGUUGACAAAGAGAGAAAAACGCAAAUCUACGUAGCAAUUGAUGUGAGUGAAAAUGUGAGCAUAGAAGAGUGAGAAUUUACCUUUUCUUCAUCCUCCAACGUGUCAAGUGAUUUGUCGAGAAAGUUAUAGUAAAAUGUACUAGAAUGUACUCAUUUACUAUGUUGUCUUUGAAUAUUUUGAAGGAACCCACGUAAUCCUCUGUCACCUUCUUUCGCCGCAACUUAGAACCUUGUCACGGUACCAAUGGUUCCUGCGUCGCAAGAAGCUGCGGAGCAAAGCUUCAAUUUGGUGAGUGUGAGAUGGAGCUGUUGGAAUAAGGGUUUGAGUGGCUGAAUUGAUCAACGAAACGAUUCGAGUACGAGAACAUAGUGUUUAUAAAAGAGUACUAAUUAUUUCACAUGGGUUAAAUUAUAUAUUUUCCAAUGCCCUUAUUAUUUUACAAAAAUAUCACUGUCACGUUAGGCACUUAAAAGAAGUUGUAUUCCGGCACAUGGAAAAAAUUAAAAAAUUAUUUUCAGUUUAUAAAAUUAUGAAUAUUAAAUUUAUUUAUUUCUAUUUCAUAAUUUUAAAUAUUUUAAAUAUUGAUGAUUUUUCACCUAAAACUUUUUACAAUUAUAAAAGUUUGAUUUGUUUUAAUGCAAACACAAUUAUUUUUUCAUAAAUUUUUAUUUUCUAACAAUUUGACAUAAUCUAUAUUUUAUUUGCAACAAAGUUCUAAAAACAAUCUUUUAAUUACAAAUAACUAAAAUGCAUAAAUAAAAAAGUUAUAUACUUUUUAAAUAUAUUUAUAUAAAUAUAAUUUUGUGUAUUAUUUUUAUGACAACUUUUCAUAUUUCGACAAGAUUAAAUAAUUAUAUAUUUUUCAAAAAUACUAAUUAAAUGGUUGAAAAUAAUUUACAAAAUUUUAGUUAACCAAGUAACUCAUAUUUCAUUAUUCAUAAAUUUUGAAUUACAAUAUUUUAUUAUUCAUAAAUUUUAAAUUAUAAUAAUAAAUUUGUAAACUUAAAUUUCAAAUUUUUAAAAAAAAAAAAAAUCUCUCAAUUAUCGUAUCAGACACAAAUAAACUUUAUUUACAAAAUCAUUAUAAAUUACCUAAAUUCAAACAUACCCACUUUCUUCAUAUUUUUUUAUUAACUUCUCACACAUUCACGCUCUUAAUUUCUCAUAAUGUAUUUCUAAAUAUGAAAAAUAUUUUUAGAGACAAUGUUAUCAUUUCAACCAAUACCAUGAUCAUUGUGUCAAUUCUCAAAGUCAUUAUCAAAUAGGAGAUUAUAAAAUCACCUGAUCUCACAUAGCCAUGAUAUCUUUUUUUCUUUCCCUCAUUAUUGUUACAAUUAUAAACAAAAUUAAUUAUAAUUAAAAUUUCAAUUUAACUUUACGUGUGCAUCAUAUUUGUUCUUGUCGGUUGACUCGAUUGCCCUCGUGCCUCUAACGACAAUCACACGCCCGAUUCUCUCUGCCUUGGUUCGUGCUUUCCUUCGAUCGAAACACUCUGUAUCUAUAAAGACGAAGGGGGUCCUAGAGGCCGUUUGCAUUCCGACACUCAAGUCAAUACUGGGGCCAAGAAACAGAGAAAUGCGUGUAAUAGUUCUAGUCUCAAGAACUGCGUACCUUGUGGCUUUUCUUACUACCCUUUAUAUAGUUUAGGGUUUCCGCUGUUUCCGUUACCCGCAUUUAGGGUUUCUGAUGGAAUACUCUUGCGUCACUAUUACUCAAUCUUAGAGCAAUCUAGCGUGUAAGACUCCCUUACUGGAGUGCAACCUCUAAUGGAAUGGCCACCUGGGUACCAACUUGUGCACCUAAUCUCUGGAGCCAUCCGUCCUGGGGUGCCCUAACUGUUCACGGGUCAUGCAUGUACUUUGUCCUUGGAAAACGUAACUCUAACGGGCCUUAGCGCCUCCAGUUGUUCUUUACUUGUGCUGCGUCUGAAUGAUAUUACUGCUAACUGAUGUGGUUUUUGGAACCCACCUUUCGUGGUCCAAUUCAACUGUUUGACUCGCCGAUGUCCGAUGUUACAUCGAUCUCACUCUGUUGCCGAGGACACAUCGGCCUCACUCUGGUGAUCGACAUCCGACCACUAGUCGGCACCCUGACCCGUGCCACUUGUGAGACACUGGUUCAUACCGCUUGUAAGACCCAGCUUACGCAGCCCACCAUUACUGCAGUCAACAAUGUUCGAUGACUGGUCAGUACAAUAUUAAAUUAAUAACGUAUAAAAAAAUUGUCUAUUGAUUUAAACAAUUUUGUUUGAAAACAUAAUAUAUUCAUCAUUACAAUAAAUGUAUAUAUCUCGUCAUACAUUUUACUUUCUCAAAAUAUGCAACAUCAUAUUUCUUUAACAAUACUUUUUUUAUCAGUGUGUUUUAAAUUUUAUUUAAAUUUUAAAAAUAUUGUACAAGAAGCCUACUCGUUUGAAGCAAAUUUAUUUUAUAAAAAAAAUCUCCAUUUUUUCCGUAACAAGGAAGAUAAUGUAAUUCGGUGAUAUUUAAUUAGUAUUUUUCAUGUUAGGAAUUUGAUGGAUUUUGUGCAACUUUUUAAUAGAAUGUAUAAGUGUUGUACUUAUAAAAUAAUCUUAUCCAAAUCAUGCCUUCCUAUUUUUUAAUUAUACUAGUUCAUAUAGUUCCUUCUACUUGGGAAACCAUAUAGCCAUUUUUAUGCAGAAAGAAUGUAUUUAAGAUGAAAUUUUUCUAAACUAAUAGAUAGAUCGCUGUCUCCGUAUUAUUAAAUAGUGUAAUUGUAGUUUUGAGUAUAUCAUUCAAACAUAAAAUAAAAUAAAAAACAACUAUGAAGACAAUGUCAGUGAACAAAGGAUUAGUACAACAUAUCAUAAAAUUCCACAACAUUGAUUUUAUUUCUUUAUAUUUUUUUAGUUUUUAUAUUAAUUAUUAUAAUUUUAAAUUUAUAUAAAAAUUUAUGGAAUUCUUUUAACUCUUAUGAAUUCAUGAAAUUCUUUACAAUGUUUUAAAUUCUUACAAAAUAUUUACAUAUAGUGAUAUUCAACUAGAAUAAUUAGAUUUCCUAAGGCCAUAAAAAAAUACACAAUUGCAUUUAAUUGAGAUUUUUUACAAGUUAUAAAAAGUAAGAUGACAUAAAAAAAUUAUACAAACUUUAAUGGAUUAAUUUUAAAAUUUUUAUUAAAUUUCAUCAUUUAGCACUCAUCAAUCAAACUCAUUGAAUCCCUUAAGAAUUUUUUUAGACCUUCAUUCUUUUCCGUCAAUUAUCAAUCCUCAUCAUUUGACAUUACAAAAUAAUAAAACUCAACAAUAGAAACUAUCAAUCCUCAUCAUUUGACAUUACAAAAUAAUAAAACUCAUUUUCAAACAUUGUUGAAAUCCAAUAAUAAUAGAAACGAAAAAAAUGUUAUUAUAAUAACUAGUACAACAAAUUAUGAAAUUUAAAAAACCACUUAUUAAAAGAUUUAACACUUUAUAUUAAUCUUACUUCUUUUCAAUCCAAGUUUUAUAAUUUUUAAUUAUUUUUCAUAAACUCCUGUAAUUUUGAAUAUUCUCUAAAAACUUAAAAUUAUUUCCAAUCUCAUUAUUACAAACAAUAACUUUCAAAAUUCUAAAUUUUUACUAUAUGCAUACAUUAUAAUGUAAACUAAAAAAAUCUUAAGCAUAAAUAAAACUUCUAAAACAUCAAUAACUCCGAACAUUCAUGAGAAGUGACAAAAUUUGCCAAAAAAAGUAAAAAACUAUGUCAAAUGAUCUUUUAAAAUCUUAAUUCAAUGCACCACCUUAUAUUCAAUCCAAUACAACCUUAAAAUUGAAUACAGGCUUCCAGCAAGGCAUCAUAACAAGUUGGUAUUACCUUUCAAGCUUUCAAAAAAGAGAAAAAAAAUGAAUAUAAAAAAUGGGUGAAAUCAGACUCAGCAGAGACCUUCAUAAAAGUUACGUGUUACCAACGUAUGCAAGAGUAGCUUUCUCCAUUUGAUCAAUGCAAAUUCUUGUUGCUGAAGGCCAGCAGUCAUGUAUUCACUACUGGGUAGUAAAUUCCUCCGAUGUACAAUGGUUAACAUCCCUGUUUAGUUUUGCUCGGAAUGUGUAGAGACUUGCAUACCUAUCACUUUGGUGUCAUGCUUUCUCUUACUUCUACUGCGCCGGGAUCUAGGCGUUUUAGUCCUUGUAGAGGGCUUGUUUGUCUGCUCUUGUGUACCAAUCAACACUUUGUCAUUAUUAGAUGGGAGCUCAGGAGGAGUAUCUGGCCAUGGAGUGCGUUUUGAUGGGAUAGUGAUGUCCAAAGGAGGGUCAAUUAUCCAUCUGCAUAAAGUCAUAGAGUUGAAUCAUUUAGUCAGUUAGGGAUAUGGACAGAAAAUAUGCUAAAAAUUAUUAUGCUUAAUCUUGGGGAUACAUAAAUACAUGCACUAUCUGUCGGAUGCCACAUCAUAACUUACAACCAGAAAAAUCUGCAUGAUAUGUGCCGAAAUAAACAACUCCAUCAUUUCCGGAGAAAUUUUAGGGUCAAACAGGUUUUUGAAUACAUUUCCAGUUUUUGUUUCUUAAUUUUACACAAAACUACACAGGUCAUGUUAUUUUUACAGUACUUUCUGUACUAGUCAAACGACAAAGAUAUUUCGGUAAUUGUUUGGGAAAACAGUAUAUUCAUAUACAAUGAUAAUUCACAUAUUAGACGAAUAGCUUUAGUUUAUCCUGGGAAGAACAAAUUUCAGAAGCCAGAAAAGAAAAGAAGACAAAGAAAAUAUGGUGCCGCUUUAAACAACGCAUGUUAUUGCUUUCGUGUGAUGUCCUGAAAUGUUAAGUUUUCAGGUUGCGCCAAUGGUGGAACCAAAGUCUCAAUGUUCCUUUUUCCAGUUAUUGAUUACGUAACCUUUGGACAGUUCUUAAAUCUAAGGAUACAAAGAUCCCAAUCGAGGCAUUCCCAACAAAUGCUUGAGAUGUCAUUGACAAGAAGGAAUCCGACUAAUAGACGUUAACCAACAAUUACAAUCUAACAAACCAGAGCAUUGUAGCUUAGUCGUACUUUAAAUGAUUUUGAUACCUUCCUAAGAAUUGGAUUUUAAACUUAAUCCAACCUUACAAAAUCUGUUUGUAAGGUGAGAUUUACACCUACUCAUAUUUUUAUUUUUAGAAGAUGACAAGAUGCCUGUAAUGGAAACUCUCUCUCAACCAUGCUUCCCUGUUUCAACACUUAUAUUUAGUAACGCCUUGAAGACAACCAACACCUACAGAGAGAGUAUUCUAGACUAUCUAAAAGAUUAUCCCCUGUAUAAGACAAGCAAGAAGAAAAAAGAAGCAAACUUUGUGCCCAAUGACAUUGAGUCUUUCAGUUUCUCACUAUACCCAGUGAGAUACGUUUCAAACCAGGAUGAGAAAUCUUAACAAAUAUGAUAAUAUAGAAAAUCUAUAAAAAUUCUGGCACCAACUUGGCAGCAGUUUACCUUCUACGCUACAUUCUGCUUACCUCAGUCUUGCCUGUAUCAUAUUAGCUGGUGAUUCAGUAGAAUUUAAUUAAGCCAUAAAAUUACUGAUCGUCGUAGAAAACAAGUCUACACUCUACAUCAAUCUAUGCCCAAAUAUCAAUGCAAGAUGCAGCUAUUCCUAAUAGGAUAAUUCUAUGCACAGAAAUAUAGGUUCGCAUUAAGCACAAAACUGGUAAUAGGCAUUGUUCUUUGGGUUUGACAUCCUAACAAACACAUUUAAAUCUCUCAAAUGUUCAAAAUUGAAAAAUAUCCCAGAUAUCAUGCCGAAAAUUAAAAAAAAGAAUGCCAGACAGCACAUGGAAAUUGCAACUUAAGACCAUCAGAAAUGAAAACUCCAAAAUGAAGGAGAGUACUCACUGAGAAGGAAAUUUGCUGUCUGUGCGGGCUUCAACGCGUAGCCACCAAAGCAAAACGUGACGUCCACAGUUCCCAAGCGGCUCUACCAUGGACGUGCUCUUGAGCAAGGACAAUGGACUCUCUAUCCCUUCAUCAACCCCAUCCAAUUCAUCAAGAUCCUUAACCCACUCUGGCUUAUCAUCAACAUCCUUCCAAACCAACCUGGAAUUCAACACAAACCCAGACCACUCGAGCUUUGUUGGCAGCACAGGUGCCUUAUCAUCAAUAUAAACCGCACUCCUCCCUGUAUAACGCAGUGAAUUGAAGGUGUGCCACCCAACCAACUUAUCCGUGGCAUUACAAGCAGGACCCUGCACAGGCAUAACCGCACCUUCCUCCUCCAUUUGAACCAUGGAUGAAGAGUCAUCCGAAUGAAGCAAUAUUCCAACCGAAACAGCUCCAAUCCAUUUCACAUUCUGUGCUUCAUCAAACAACUCCAUACUAUGCAUAUUACUAUCAUCAGCAAACACCACAACUCCAUCCAGCUUCUCUUUUCUCACAACUCUGUUCAAAAUUAACCGAAUGUAAGUAACUCUUCAUGAUGCAUUUUCACUGUAUUCUGUGAUUAUGUCUCGCGCACUAACAAAAACAACACUCCAUAAAGUUUCUACACUCAACAUAACAAUAAUAACAUCAAUCGAGUAAAAGGAGGUAGCAAAAGUUAACCUCAAAGCAUGAAGUCGCAUCCGAGACUCGAGUUUAUGCCUAGCAUCCCACGAAUUCGGCAUUCGUUCAGAAAAGCCAACGUGGAAAGUUCUGAGGCCAGACUUGGCAAUAAUCGAGGCGGUUUCGUUGGUGACUCCGCCGGCCUCCACCACGAUCCACACCAGAUCGUACGGAACCAGCAUCAGCGCGUGCAUCACACCCGUCAAGUGCAGCGUCUGGAACGUACGAACAUACGUCGGCGUCACCGCGAUCACCGUCCUAGGGUUCUUCACUCCGAACAGCGACCUCUGCUCCCUCUGCACCCGCUCGAUUAUGCGGUGCGCCUUCAUCACCUCCACGGGAUCCGGGUGCGGCCAAGGCCGGAUUCGGAUCCCGUGCCGCCCGACCACCACACGGCUCGCGGUGCUCACAGCCGCCGUCCGGUUCGCCGCCGGAGGAACGUUAAGCGGGGCCUCGAUUUCAGUUCCGCCGCGGAAGGGAGCGGUGUAGAGGCUGGUGGAGAACAGGAAGAAGAAGACUAGGCGGGAGAAGCGGAAGCCAAGGACGAGACUGACGAGGCAGCAUAGACCGUGGAUUAGCAGCCAGAAAAUCGCCGCCGGUGACUUGACCGCGCCGUCGCCGGACGAAUCGAGCUGCGCGGAUCCUCUGAAGCUGUUGGGGCGGCGCGUGAGGUAGCUCUGCUGCAACGCGGAGAGCUUCAUUUUGUCCCUGUCUCUAAGUCAAAGAAAGAAUGUUUGUGACUUCAAGUGCCAACACUUACACUAUUAUAUGUUUUGAUUUCAUUUUAUGAUUCAAGUUCAUAAUAGAUAAGUAAGAGGCUUGUCGGUUAGAGAUGGUGGUUGGUUUUCCUUGCUGGUGGCUUUAGGUUGGUGCCUCUCUCUCAUUUAAUCAUUCAUCAUUUCUUUGGGUUUAAGGAUAAACCGCUUCCUUUUCUUCCUUUUUCUUAUUUUAAUUAUUCCAAUUCGGACACAAUUAAUUCUAAAUAACUAAAAACACAAAUGCUACAAUUCACCACACUCUUCGCGUGGUAUAUGGUCAACGUUAUAACUUCAUCCUAAGGUUAUUUUCAAAACUAUGUUGAGCACAAUCCAAGCAACUCAAAACUAAUAAACAAACAAAAUUUAUGGAUAAAAAUAACAGCUAGCCACAUUCAAAUUAAUUACUUGUUUCUAUUUCCGUUUCUUAUAGGAACCAAAUGUUUGGAACUCUUUGUCUUUUAUCUGAUCUUUUUUGUUUUCUUGCUAUAAUGUGUAUCCAACACCCUAACUGAAAGCUUCCCUGCAUUUUCACUCAACUUCCAUUUCUUACAAUUACAAGUUCUGGAAAUUUCCCUAUUUUUUGUUCUUUCCAAAUUCACGAUCUUCAUGUAAAUUGCAACCCUUGUUCUGAAAUUAGGAGUGGUAGUGGUAAAGGGUUAGUUGAAUUGGAAGAGAAGCAGUAGAAUGUCAAAAUCUGCUAAAGCUAUAACGUUAGACAUCUAAAUCAAAACGAUUAUGUCGUGUCUCUCUAUGUUUUCCAUGUUGGUGUGAUCCAAUAAUUAUUCCAUACGCAUAACUUUAUCCUUCAAACUUCUAACACUUUCACAAACGUCACGUUGCGAUUUACACAUCUCUACUCUUUUCGUAUUUCCCUUUUCCCACUGUAAUUUUUGUGUCAGUUCUUAAUAUGGGUUCCAAAUUCCACGGAAAGGUUUGCGCAAUGAAAACAAAAUUUUACCUUAGCCUAAUUUUGCCAUCUUCUUACACGUAAUCAUGCAAUGACGUUUCAUUGGCUUUCAAAAUUGGAAGAUGAAAACAACAAAUGUGGUUGGUAAGUUGUGAUAUGUCAAAAUCAUUGGUAGCCACAACAAUAUGCUUGCAAACUAAGAAAUUCUUCUUACCUCUUAUGAACUCCUCAUAUAAAUAAAAACCCGUCUUCUUAUUAGCUACUUCACUUGAUUACUACAUUUCACCAUUAAUUCAUGCAUGUACCAUUAUAUAGUUGUUUAGUUGUGGUGCCUUUGAAUGAGAAUAAUAUAGGUCAUAAGAAAAAAAUUGAAGGAUGAGGAUAUUGGGUAUGAAGCAAAGAUCAAUUGGGUUUGGUGAAAUCAUUGAACUCAAUCAUUAGGUUCUUUUAUAAUUUUUAUUUAAAAAAUCAUUAUACUUAUAAUUGGUGUGCAACAUGAUAGAAUGAAAACUUAAUAAUUGCAAGCGUAGAUGUAGGUUGCAAUUGAUGACUGAACAUGUUAAAUCUUAUAUUGUUUAUUUUUCUACAGUUGAUUCGUGAUUAUAUGUGUUGCUUUCCUACGUUUUUUUAUAAGGAUAAUCUCAACAAUAAUUAGUAAGAAAAUCAUAAGCCUAUAAUCCCACUAAAAGUCUCUAAGUUUUAUUUCUUUCAAUCUAUUUAAUUUAAUAUAUUAUCUGCUAAACAUAUUAAUAGGCUGAAUUAAUUUAAUUUUUCCUAAAUUUGUCGGUCAAUUUUUUAUUUAUUUAUUUUAUGAAUAAUUAAACUUUAUCGAUAUAUAUAAUUGAUUACUUUACUUAGAUCUCUUUUCUGUAUUAUAUUUAGGAAAAUCAAAUAUAAUAUUACUUAAAUUAAUAACUUACGAGUGAGCAUAGUUUUCAAGAGGUCCUGAACCAAAUUAAUUAAUGCAUGAGUUAACAGUUUUAAAUAUAAACAAUAUUCAGCUCAAUUAACUAAAGUAAAAUAAAAAAAUAUGAAAUUUCUUCUUUAGUGUUAACUAAAUAUAUAUUAACUGGAAGUUGAAUGGAGUGCAUUGAUUGUAAAAGUGAUUGAGUGUUGAAAAUUAAAAAGAAAAUCUGUUAUUGCAUAGAAUAUUAAACUUUGAAUAGACAUUAAAUUUAGCAUUAAAACAAAUAUUAUAUUAAAUUUAACAUUAAAAACAUAUAUUAUAUUAAUUACAUUGAACGUUCAUAAUACUAUCCACUCUAAACCUGUACCAUUCCCAUUCCAAGGAUUAAAUUUAAAUAUCAGAAGCUAGUUCCUGAUUAAAAAAAAAACUAUACAAGCCAAUUAUUCACUCUUAAUCUCAUUUAAAUAAUAAAUAAAUGAUGUCAUUUGUUCAAUUAUUUAUACUUAUUCAAUUGAUUUUUUAUUUCAUUUCUCUUUUUCCCUCUAUUUUUAUAAUUAUUUUCACAUCAACAAAGACAGUAUACUCAGAGCAUGGGCCAUUAAAUUUUUCAAAAUGAAACAUUAAAAUUUUAUUUAGAUUUAAAUAUGUUUUUAUAUCGAACUGAGCCGUAAAAUUAGUGUUUUAGUCUUUAUGCAUUUUUUAACAUAUUAUGAGUGUAAGUCAAUCUACCCUCAAUUCGCAUUAAUUUUUUUAUUGUUGUAUGAUAUUAUUUGUGGAUUAAAUAUUACUUGUUAUUUUCAUUCAUUAUCUAAUCAAUGUCAAUGUUAUAGUAAGCCCCAUUAAACAUACAAAUAAUGUGGGCUAUUGAAGUCACACACAUUUAUAUACUCAGUUGAACCCAAAUAUUCUUUUCAUAUAUUCAGAUAAAUUGCUUUUUUUUUAAUCUGGUUUUGAACUUAUCUUUCGAAAAGGAUUUUUUUAUUUUAUUUUAUUUUAACUUGAUUUUAUCCAAACAAAAGUUCGUUUACGAAUACGAAUUGUUGUCGUUUUCUAUCUUCUAAAUUAUGUAAUAUGAUUCGUUGAUACUAAUUUAAAACUUUAACUAAAUUAUUUAAUAGAUUGUGUAAUGUAAUAUAAUAAACGGACGUGUGUGAUGUUUAAUCCCGUAAUUAUUACAUCACUAAAUGCAGAUUUAAUGUAGUUAUCAUUUGAAUUACCAUUUAAUUUUUUAAAUAUUUGGUAAUACUAGAUAUACCUUUUAUACUAUUAAAAGAUUUAAAGUAAUAUACCUAAGGAUAUAUUUGUUUUCCUUCUUCUCUAAAGGUGUUAUUUAGAUAGUAAGUUCCUCUUAUUCUUCCUUUAUUCUAAUUCUCAUUCUUCUUCCCUUCUCAAAAACUUUUGAAAUGGAAUCGAAUUGAAAUAUCAAAAAGUAGAUCAAAACCUAAUUGGAAUUAUUUUGAUGUUAGUAAAAGACUUAAUCGGUGGGUUUUACAAUCAAAGGAGACAAAAGAGUUCUUCUAGGUAGUCAUUUUUAUUGUUUUUUUUAUAGUUCAAUUGGUUGUUGAUUUAUGUUCGUUUGAACAUGUACCAAGUAAUUGGAAAAGUUUUAUGUUAAUUUUGAGAGAUUAAUGAGGUUGGGAGUGGGGUGGAUUUUGGUUCACAAGAACCUUAAAAUCAUGAGUUGCAAACUUGUCCUCCAUGAAAAAAAAUCAAAUACUCAAAUCCGUAUCCAUACUUUUUAUAUUUCAAAUCCAAUUCAAUCAAUAUGAUUUACAUUAAAUAACAAUUGAAUUUUUUCAAAAUCAAUUUUUUCUAUAAAAAAUAAUUUUUUUUAGUUUUGGUUUUCUCAAUUUAAAGUGUUUAAGUUAAGAAUUAAACUUUGAACUUAACUCAAUCUUAUAAAAAAAAGUUAUAAUAGGAGAUCCACAUCCUAUAAUUUGAUAUAUCUCAUUUACUAUUUAUAAAUCUCAUGGUCAAUUCAAUGAAAAUUAAAAGAAUGACACCUACAAAUAAUAAUCAUUGAUUUUGUAUCGAGGUGUGAAUGACAUAUACAAGCAUGUGCUGGAUAAACUUGUAAGUUAAAAGAGCUAAGUAGAUUAUCAACCUAGUUUUUGGGGUUUUCAUAGUAACUAAUAAGACUAUGGAAUGUGGGUGAAUCCCUAUAAAUAUAAAAUAUUUUAAAACUCUGAAAAAAUUAUUUUUUGGAAUAACACACAUUCUUCAAUGAUCAAAUAUAGAUCUUAUAUGAAUGAUGAAAGGAUGCAACUAUAGGAGGGGAAAGUUUAUAUUUGUUCAUAAAGUGAAGAAUCUCCCAAAAGUUAAGUUUACCUAUAUUAUAUAUUAUGUAUAACAUAAUAUAAACAUAUAUAAACAAAUAAAUUGUUGUUGGAUAUGAUCAAAUCAAAUGUGGUAAGGACAAUUUACAUAGUAAAGUUCCAAUGAGUUUUUUGUUUUUUCAAUAGUUAUGCAUAAAAAGCAAUUUAGGACAUUUGUAGUUUUUUCCCUAUAAAUAUUCCCUCAUGGAAAAAUCCUUUUAACUACUCUAUGUACCCCAAUACCAGGUGAUUUAUAACUUUACCAUUUAUUAUUAUUAUUAUUAUUAUUAUUAUUAUUAUUAUUAUUAUAUUUUAAAGUUAUUAGGUUGUAUUUUUUUUAUCAGCAAGUUAUUAGGUUUAUGUUAAUUGUAGAGGUUUAUGUCAUCAAAGAUGAUGUUACCCCUUGUUCAAACAAUAUUUUAUUAAUUACUAAUGUAGCUAAUACUUUUUAUUUUAGUUUUAAAAUUAAUAAUGAGUAUUGAGCUAUAUAAUAUAUAAAUAAUAUAUUCAAACGUUAUUAUAACUUAACUCGUAUAAAUGAAAUAUAAAAAAUAAAUGAAAACUUGAUAAUUAUACAAUUGUUAAUGUUAUUCUUAAAUUACAAUAUUUUUAAAGUUAUCUAAUCUUAUAAAUAAAAUGCAUAAUUAUUUAAUAUCUAUGGUAGAUAGUGUAUGCAUAUGAAUUAAUCAUUUAUUAUAUCCAAGUAAUUUAAUUUUUAAUAUGGAACCAUAUAACAGAAAAAUAUGGAGUUAGAGAAUGUUCAAAUGUAGAUAAGAGAUACAAAAUUUGUAUUUUAAAUUUUUUUAUAUAAUAAAUCUUAUAUAUAUAUAUAUAUACGUAUAUUUUUUAUAUUAAUUAUAGUAACAACAGUGGAUCAUUGCUCUUCACAAACAUGUUUUAUAAAUUAGGGCCAAACUAAACUUAAGUUUAAUUUAAAAAAAAAAACGAAUCUUAACAUAUAUUCUUAACACACAAAAUUUGCACUCCAUGGACGGAAAACGACUUUGUCUAACAUUAAGUCAUAAUCAUGUUAUUCACUCUUGUACUCAUUUGAAUAAAUACAAAUAAACCUACUCAUAUUUAUUUAACAAUUUAUAUUUAUUUAAAUUAAAAAAAUCCUUUUGUUUUUCCUCACUCAGAACAUUGACCACUGAAGUACAACUUGCUCAAUGCAUGAACCACUCAUUUUUUUUAAAUUUAAUCAUUAAGAAUUUAUUUAUUCGUGUCCAUUUUAAAAAAAAAGUAUUUUUGUUAUUUUAUUAAUAAAAUAAUAUUUACAUAGCAAUAAAAUUACUAAUUUUACUAAGAGGUUAACUUUAAGUUUAACUCAAUUUUAUAAAACAAAUGAGAUUUAUACCCACUUAUAUAUUAUGAAAUUUCUUAGAUGAUAUGUUUUUAGAUGGAAUAGUUUGAUAAGUUUAAAAAACUUUUAUUAUAUAAGAUUUUAAAAAAAUCUGAUAUUUUUAAACUUAACUCAAUUUUAUAAAAUUAACAUUAAAAAUUACAUCUAUCAAAUAUUCUUAUAUUUAAUUGAGGUAAAAUUUCGAACAAACUUGUUUUUCAUUAAAAAUAACAUAAAAUAUUUUUGAAAAGCUAUAAUUUAUAUUCUUAAAAGUUUUGUAAUUGUUUAAAUAUUAUUAAGUUUUUACACUUUUAAUAAUUGUUGUUCCAAUUGAUAAGUAAGCCCAGCUAUAACAGAUGAACGCAUGUCAAUGUGGGCUAAUUGACGUACACAUAUAGUUGGACCCAAUCAGAACACGCACACAUGUCCAAUUACAAAUGGAAUGAGCCAUGUAAAUUGGUUGCAUUUUUUUCGAAUAUGGUUUUCAACUUGUCUCUAGAAAAUAUUUUUUUUGUAUACUUAAUCCAACGUGAUUUUCUCCAAAAAAAAAAGGUUAUUAUAUAUAAAUUAUUUUUAUUUAAUUAUUUAGUACACUUGUAUCUUUUAUAAAUUAUUUAAUAUAAUUCACUCAUACGGAUUUAAAAUUGAUUGUUUAAUAUAAGUUAAUUAUUUAAUAGAUUGUGCAAUUUAACAGGCGGACAUAUAUUUGCAUCACUAAAUAUUGAUUAAUAUAUUUAUAAUUUGAAUUACCCAUUUAGUUUUAGAAAUAUUAGCUGAUACUAAAUCUAAUUUUGUUCAGUGAAUGUAAGAUCUUACUUUUGACUCUUUUUUUUAUUAAUUUUAGUUUUGAUUAAAUUUUUAUUAUUUUUCCUAACUUACUAAAGAAUAAGACUGACAUAACCUAUGUUUAAUGUUAUUUAAGUUACAAGUGAGCUAACUUAGUAAUACAAGAUACGAGAUUUUAAGUUUUUUAUAUAACCUAAUCUUCACAUAUAACCUACUAGAAUGAGACCCUUCUAUUAUUAAUUUGUUAAUACUGGUAUACUAUUAUUUGAAAAUAAAAUGAACUAAUUUAUAUUUAUAAACUAUGACAUCAAUUUAUUUUAAAUUUAAAUUAUAUUAUAUUAAUUAUUGUUAUUAUGAGUGUUAUCUGCAAAUUAUACUGUAAUAAUUUUAUUCUAAGUUCGAAAAAAACCUAUUACAUUAAAAUACUAUUGAUAUAAUUAUACUUUAAUCUUCAAAUUUUAAAUUAUAUCUCUAUAAUUUAUAUCAACUUAAUUCAUUGAACGAAUAAAUAUAAAGUGAUUUUAAUGCGUGCAUACGAGUUAAAGUGCUUGUAUAAGCUUAUUUCCACUAUCCAUAAAUUCUAAUUCAUGUAUACUCUUAUCUUUCGCCCCUUCUCUAUUUAUUUCCAUUUUUAUAUUUUGAAUCUUUAUUUAAACGUAUCAGUUCAUCAGUUUUCAUAAAAAAAUCACUUUUAUUACAUAAAAAAACAUAUUUUCACACAACUAAAAUAAAUAAAUAAAUAUUAGUUCAAAUAAGGAAUGCUUAGAAAUGAAAAUAUGGAUUUUUGGUAUAUUUGACUCCAAGUGGCAUUCAUUAAGAAAAACAAAAUACGAUUGUUAUUCAAAUAAAAAAAAUAUUUAAAAAUCUGCUAUAUUAUAAUUCGUUAUCAUCUCUUGAUUUUAUUUUAUUUUAUCUUUAAUUAACUAAGUUGGCUAUAAUGUAUUUGGAUAAGAAUUUUAAUAAAAUAAUUCAAUCUAAAUGAAGUUUUAUGAUAAAAUGUGUUAUUUGAGUAAAAAUGUAGAAUUUUAUUAAAAUAAUUGAAUUACUUAAAAUUAGAUAAUUUCAAGUUUCAUCUAAUAAAUACAAUAAAAGUUUGAAAAUUUUCGUAUUCCCAAAAUAAGGUUUCUUUUAUUCAUAUACUUUUAUUAGCUUGAUUUUGAUUGAGACUUCAUUAAUUUAUUCAAGACUAAUACAUUAUUGUUGGUUUGAUUGAGAUUAUGGUAUCACAAUGUCAAAAAUAUAUCAAGAAAAAUAGUCUAAAAAUAUUUUUAAUAUUGAUGUUUUAGAAUUAUUAACCAUUAUUUAAUAUUUAGACAUUUUUUACAUUUAAUGAUAAUUGAAAUGUCUUAUUUAAAUAAAACGUAAAAUUGAAUGAAUUUGAAUUGUUUUAUUAAAUUAAAAUAUUAAAAUGUGGUUGACAAUAUUUUUAAAAUUGUGAUUUUUUUUAGUUGAAAGCAAAGGGAAACUUAUUCACAUUGUUGGCACUAUAUAUUGAAAGGUAUUAGUAGAUUUGUGUACAAAUAGGUAGCAUUAAUAAAGAGGGGUACGUGGCUGGUUCAUCUUGCCACAAUGUCACCUUCAUUCAAAGAAUUUUCAUACAAUUUAACAAUUCUUCAUAGUUAUCACUUUUCUCUUUCAAACGUGCUUUCUCAUCGCAUUCUUUUGACAAUACUUCAUACAAAAGUGGGUCAAUCAACUACGACAUUCAAUGUUGUCUCUUCGUUCAUGCAGCCAUGUUGCAUCCUUAUAAUUAUUCAAAUUUUGAUUUUUUUUAUAUAUUUCAAUAUUAGUUUUAUAGUUUUUUGUCCUCAAUUUUGGAAGUUUGAAGGAAGCCACGUAUAUAAUUUAUUUUAUUAUUAAAUAAAAACAGCUAUGAUAAAAAUGGCACGUGAAUGUCCUAUUCCUUUCCUGAGUGAUAUGAAAAUGUCAAAAUUAUCGUCUGUUGACUUUUGCAGACUCUUGUUUCAGCAGAGGCACAUGUGCUGUUUUUUUUCAUGAAAAUUUUGCAAAUUUUGAGAUUUUCUUUUCCUUUCGAUUCUAUGAUGCUGCUGUUAUUUUUUCAUAAUAACGACAACCUUAAAUCACGGAUAGAGAUACAAUACAAUGCUUCAAAAUUUGCUGUAACCGCAUAGUUACUGAAAUUCACGUACCACUUAAGUCAACUACCUCAUGUGCUUUAUUCAUCUUCUUUUUUUUUAAUCUAUUUUUCUAACGUAUAAUGUUCUAUAUGAUAAGCCAAAUUAAUUAUCAACUAAAUUAUAUUAUUUAUUUCAAUUUUUAAAUGAAAUUACAUUUUCUUAUCCACACAUAACUAUUUUUAAUUGUUUCACACGUAUUAUAUUGGCCUUUCAUAUCUAUAUCGACAUGUAUAUUACAUAUUUUUAAUAUUUAAAGUUUUAAGAUAUUGUAAGAAUAGCUAUUUUUUUUUAUAAAGUUUUCAUGUUAGAUUUUAUUAUGUAACUUGACAUCUUAACUAAACUAACACCUCAAGUAACAACAACAUCUGCUAUCACAUGAAAAAAAAAUAUUAUUAAAAAAAAAAAACAAAACGUGUUGUUAACUUUAAACUAAUUAAUAUACUAAAUACCAACUCUCUUCAAAUAAAUAAUUAUUUUAUGUUAACACUAAUCAUUGUAGUAUAAAACAUACAAAUGUGUUAUAAUAAAAAAAACAUAUUAACAAUAAAAAUUUAAUAAAAAAUUGAAACAUUAGAAAGUAUUUUUUAACCUUUUUACAAGAAAGUACGAACAAAAUAUGUGAUGUAUAAGAUUUGAUACAAAUAGGUAGACAUAUAUACGAGUUAGAAUGAGAAAAACUAACUUUUGAAUAUUUAUUUGUUAUCUAAAUAUAAAAUUUUAUUUUAUUGAACCAUUAUAAACGCUUAUAUAACAUUCAGCUUUUAAUUUUUAAAAGUAAUAUAAUUUUUAUGAUUCUAAAUGGAUCAUACAGUAGCUAUUCAUAUAUUCUUGGAAAUCUAUAAUUAGAAUAGUUGUACUGGUACUAACGGUUUUGAGAGAGAAUUAAAAGACCAUGAUAGUUUCAACAUACCACAUUUUAUAUUAUCAUUUAACAGCUAUAGAUACUAUUGUUUUAUUUUAAAAUGUUAUUUGUAUUUAUUUUUGUUAGUUAAGUAUAAUACUUUAUUUUUUUAAAAAUUGUAAAGUAUAUAUAAGAGAGAAAAAUGAUGUGAAAUGAUAUUUUUCUAUAAUGAAGUUAAUCUAAUAAUUGUUGGAAGUUGAUGUGAUGGUGCUAAUCAAAUUAGAGUCUCUUUUUAAAAUAAAUUAUUUAUUGUUGUUGUUGUUUUUUUUUAAUAAUAUUUUUUUUAUGUAAUAGUAAAUGAUUGUUGUCACCUGAGGUGAUUGUUAUUAGUUGAAGUGUUAGUGUAGCUGAGAUGUCAAGUAACAUAGUAAUGUCUAAUAUCAAAGUUUUUUAUAAUAAAAUAAAAAAUAAAAAAAAUAAAAAUAUUGUUGUUUAUUACGAAUGAUAAAGUUUAAAUUUAUUUGGAAAGUAUUACUUAUAGCUUUAUAUUUAACUUUGAUCUUUCAAAUAAAGAAAUUAAAUAUUCAUGAAUUCAUUAAUAAUUAAUAUUUAUAUCUAUAUAUCUAUAUAUAAAGGGAUUAUUUUCUUUAACUGUUCUUUUGGUGUUUAUCAAUUUUACCCUUAUAUUAAUAUUUGUUUUAUUAUUUUAUCUUGGACAUUUUAGUUAGUUUAUUGUUUUUUUUAAGAAUUUAAUAAAUAAUUAUUCUUAUAAUUAAUUGGGAAACUGUUUUUCUUUUAUAAAGGGAUUCCUUUUAAUUGUUUUUUUUGUGUUUAUCAAUUUUACUCUUAUAUUGAUAUUUAUUUUAUUGUUUUAUUUUGGACAUUUCAGUCAUUUCAUUAUGUAGUUUUUUUUCCAUAUCUCUAUCUCUCACGUGGAAAAAUGUGUGAUCCUAUUUCUCACGUACCCUACUUCCCAUUUUCUCUUCUCUUUCCUUUUCUCUUUCAUGUAAAACAUACUUUUAUUCUCACUUUUUCUAUGUUUUGAUUAAUCUUUGCGGAACUCUAAUUUGAUACUUUUCUUAUGAAAUUGUAAUUGAAGUUUGUGACUUGAUGAAGGGGAAGGACUUAACAGAAAGAGUUGCAGGCACCAUUACAACAAUCAGUAUUUUUCUUUAUGUGCAUUUCAAUUUGUGACACUAAUUUGACAUUUUUCUUAUGAAUUUGUGAUUGAUUUUUAUAAUUGAUAUAGUGUAAGAUACUAUUAAAGUGAAUGAGUUAUUGAAAUUAUUCUUGUUUGACUCUAAAUGAUGGAAUUAGGCAAAAUUAUGCAUAUUUUGCACUAAAUCUCACUCGAGCGAAAUAAUUUUUGCUCAAGCGAGAAUAAAAUGAAAAGAUGGGUGCUCCAGGGUUUGUUCUCGCCCAAGCGAGAAGGAAUCUCGCUCAAGCAAGGCUUGAGAUGAAAUUUUGGGUGCUUGAGAGCUCAAUCUCUCUCAAGCAAGGGAAUUUUCGCUUGGACAAGACCCAUUCACAUUUUUGCUCAAGCUAGCUUGUAAAAAAAACUUAUAUUUUUUAUUUUUGCUUUUAAAAGCCAGAUUUAUUAUUGGUUAUUGUUUUUAAGUGAAAAUUCUAAAUUUUAUUUAAAAAUAUGAUUAAAGAAACUUAGUUAUGAGUUUAAGUGAAUUUUGAUAUAUAUUUGGAUUGUUUAGAAAGUUUAAAAUGUGAUGUGAUUGAAUGGUGCAUGGAUGUGUUAAUGAUGUAUGUAAUGAGGUGAAAAUGUGAUCAAGACAUAGUAUUUUCAAGAAAGGAAAUACCGUGUUGAGAUUGUUAUUAGGAUGUAUUGAUUUGCGAGUGUCUUGUGAAUGAGAAGAUCCUGACUCUACUAAUAUAAUGAAAUUAUAUAGAUGAAGUUAUUCAAUUGGUGAGAGUCAAAGGAGGUUUAUCUCACUGAGUCUGAGGUUUGAAAGAACUGAUUAUAGCAUAUCAAAUUGAUUUUCCCUACCAUAUGAGACGAUGAGAUAUUAAAAUAAUUAUGUCAUGACUGUGUGAAUUUCACAACUAGUAGUAUGAUAAGUGUAGAUCUCUAGAUGCUAAUUUUAAUACACGAGUCUUCCAAAAAUAGAGUCAAGUGUCUAUAUGUUGUGAGUCAUUAAAAGUUUGACAUGAGAAAUAUGAAUUAUGAAUUAUAAUAGACACUCAAUGGUUUGUGAAAAUGCAUGAGAAUUGAUAGUUUUAUGUUGAGAUUUAAAGUUUUAUUUAUAUUUAAAGUUUUAAAAAUAGUCAUCUUACACUGAUGUUUAUGUAAUGUUCUAUUUUCUUUAAUAUGUAAUGAUAUUUACACGGAAGCGAUGAUGUUAUAGGUGAUAGAACUGUUCAAUAAAAAGCUGAAGUAUAAAUAUUUAAUUUUUUUAUUUUAAUCUUAUAUAAAUAUUUAAAAUCCCUAUAAAAAAUGAUAUAUUUUGAAUCAAUGUAUGAAAGAGUUAUAUAUAUUACACAUUAUAGUUAUUAGAUGUGGGAGAAAUAUAGGAAUGUUUCACAUAACAAUACUACAUCAAAAUUUUCAAAUUUGUGAAAAAAAUUAUAUUCAAUUUUUAAUUUUGAAAAAUAACAAUUUUAAUCCCCCACCUCCUCUCUCUCUUUAUAUAUAUAUAUAUAUAUAUAUAUAUAUUAUGCUCAAUGUUCAAACCUAAUACUAAGAGUACUUCUAAGAACAUUGAUUUAUACAGGUAGUAAGUAAAUGACAGAAAGUACGAGAGAUACUUUUGACCGUUCUUCUAUUUCGGUGAUAACGGAGUACGAAACACUGUUCACUGAUAUCAACAGAAUUAUUAAAUUUAUGUGUUCGUUAACUGCUAAUCACUACAUUGACUGCAGAAUUAAUGUUAAACAAAUUGUAUUCAAAUUUAAGAUCUUAAAAAUGUAUUCAAAUUAAUGUUAACUCAUUUUAUCAUGUUUAACUGAUACUAUUUCUAAAGUAUAUUCAUGUUGUUUAGUUAACACAAUUGAACUGAAUCAGUAAAACGUGUUGAACUGCAAUGAAUACCAGGAUUCGGUUCUCUUCAAACGUGACAAAUUAUUUUACGGUCCAAAUAGCGAUUUGAAAUGAACAAAUCACUACACGAUGUAUUUAUUUAUUUUAUUAUGAUUUAAAAAAACUCAAUUACAUUCAUACAAAUACUAAAGUACUACACACUGAAACUAUUUAUACAGUUUAUCACUUAGGUAUUUUUCAUUAAAUAAAUAAGUUUAUUGAUGUAGAAAUUGAAAAUAAAAAAAAUUGAAAAAUGACGUUCGAUGUAAAUGAUUUGAUUAUAAAUGAAAAAAAAAUUAGAAGAAAAAGACAUGGAGAAUAAAUAGAAUAAAAAGACGUAGAUGAUUGAGGAAUGGGAGAGGCGGAGAGAAAGCAGAGGGGACAAAAUGAGGGAAAAAAAAUAUUAAAAAGAAAAAUAAGAAAGACGACAAAGAAAGCAUUGAGAAUCCACGGUAGGGAAGGUGGUCAAUCCAAGUCAACUACAGCAUAAGCUGGGAACCAACGGAUCCUCAAACUUUUCUCACAGAUCCAACGGCUUAAACAAUGCCUUUGACCUCAGUUUAUAGCCCCGAUGCAAUAAUAACCCUCCGGUGGGACCCGGAGGCACAAAAAGUCAAUAUCUCCCCACUACUCACACUUCCUUCAGAUGCUUUUUCUCAACGAAAAAAAAAACAGAGAAAAAAAUAGUGUUUUCCUUUUCUCUUUUCUGAGUGGGCAGAGACCAAAAUACCCUGUUGCAGCGUUUGGAUCUUACAUUAGAGAGAAGCGAAAUUUGACGGAAACAGGGACGAGACGAGUAGGGUUAGCUAGCUAGCGUGACAGUACAGUGAGCUAGUGGACCAAACAAGCCACUAUUCUUUUUUUUUUUUUUUUGAAUUUAAAAUUUGUUUUGGCAUGACUUGACCAGGGUACCCUAUGACCCUCUUUUAUUUUCUUUUGGUCUUUAACACCUCCUUCCGUGUGCCCUUUCUCUCUCUUUGAUGCAACUAUGCCUGUGGAGCUCAUGAUGGGGUACAGGAACGACACUUUCGCCGAAGAGAAUGCGGUUCGUGAAGCUGCGUCGGGGCUAGAGAGCGUCGAGAAGCUCAUCAGGUUGCUGUCACGCGCCCAGCUGCAACAGCAGCAACAGCAGCAGCAGCAGCAACAAUCGCACGCAUCCAAUUCGAAGUCUUCCAUGGAAAUUGAAUCCGAUUACGGAGCUGUCGCUGACGUGGCGGUUUCCAAGUUCAAGAAGGUCAUUUCGCUUCUGGGCCGAACCAGAACCGGCCACGCGCGUUUCAGAAGAGCCCCCGUGCCUCCGCCGCCUCCUUCCGAGCCCAGAUUCUACCGCGCAACGCCGCUGCAGCAGAUCCCGCCGCCCACCGAACACCCUUUCAUCCCUAAAAAUGGACUGAUUGACACAAAGGACUCCUCCAAGACCAUCAAUUUCUCCUAUUCUAAUUCCUUCGUCUCCUCCCUCACCGGCGACACCGACACGAAGCAGCCCUCUUCCUCGUCGCCUGCGGCGGCGGCUGCCACGGCAGCGCCUUUUCAGAUCACGAAUCUCUCUCAGGUCUCCUCCGCGGGAAAGCCUCCUCUUUCUUCGUCUUCGUUGAAGAGGAAGUGCAGCUCUGAGAAUUUGGGUUCUGCCAAUUGUGGGAGUUCCUCUAGCCGAUGCCAUUGCUCAAAGAAGAGGUGGGUAUUGGUAUAUAUAUGUCAGUCUCUCACUUUUUUUUUAUCCUUAAAAAUUGUUUGAAAAAAAGAAUCUGUUUUUCUGUGAUGUCUGGUUCUGAUGCAUUCUUCUUUGGAUUGGCGUUAUGCAGUAGAAAAAUGAGGUUGAAGAGGGUGGUGAGGGUACCAGCAAUAAGUUUGAAGAUGGCUGAUAUUCCACCAGAUGAUUAUUCUUGGAGGAAAUACGGACAGAAACCCAUUAAAGGAUCUCCUCAUCCAAGGUGCAUAUAACAACAUUACACCAUGUUCUGAUUUAAAUUAUCCACCCCUUCAAUUUCAAAUUUCGAAAUGUGCCCUGGUUUCAUUAAAUUUGAUUUGUUUCCCUUUUUCUCUUUCCCGUGUGACUAAAUUUAGAAAGAUCUUGUCAUUGGUUGGUUUCUGUCCUUUCAUAGAGUUUACUAUGAAGUGGUGAAGUGAGGUUUAUUUUUGUCUGGAAUUAUUAAUUGCAGGGGCUAUUACAAGUGCAGCAGUGUUAGAGGGUGUCCAGCGCGCAAGCAUGUAGAGAGGGCUUUGGAUGACCCAGCUAUGUUGGUAGUCACCUAUGAAGGUGAACACAAUCACUCACUCUCUGCAGUCGAAGCUACUACUAAUCUUAUCCUAGAAUCUUCUUAGCUAAUUAGUCAAUCACCGAUUUCCCAUCACAGAGCAUAUUCUGAUCAUGUCAUUCAUGGCUUGUACACUUGAAAAUUUUACUCUCGAAUGAGAUUAAUUAAUUGAUGGGUGUUCCAUGUUCACAUGUUCUAUACAAUUCUAUUCCUUUUCCCCUUUUGUUCUCUUCAAAACAUGGACCGACCGACACUGAAUCCACCCAUCUUGACUGUAUAUAUAUUUUUCUUUUAAAGAAGGGUGAAGAUGGCGUAUUUGGUAACGGAUUUCAUUUAAUUUGAUUCAAAUCUAAAGAAAAAAAGAAGAAAGGAAGAAGUGGGGUUGGUUUUGUUCCUUUUUCUUUUCUUUUGUUUUCUGCUUGAUUGCUUUACAUGUGGUUCUGAUCUUGGAUGCUCAUGGCCUCUCUCAACAUUAAUGGAUGAAAAAGACGGAGUCAAAGAAGGAGGAACAUGUGGUGUUCAUUGCUAAAGAAGGUUGACUAAAAGAGAGAGUGGUUGGCACUUGGCAAUUGCCAGUUAGAACGGCAAAUUAUAGUGAAUGAACUGGGAAGGUGAGGUGAGUGAUGGGUAAAGGGCGCAGAAAGAGAGUUUUUAAUGCAAUUUUUGUCUCAACCAUUUGGCUUCUAGGAUAAAACUCUUGUUUGAACUAGUACAUUUGUUUAAAGUCUUUAAUGUCUGUUUUGGUUUAAUGUUCAAAACAUUAAAUUCAUGUUUAACACUUGUUGUAGCUUCUGCAUCAUAAUGCACUUGUUCUGGGGUUUCACUUUCUAAGUGAGUUUUACAGAAUUAAGGUAGAUUUAAUCUGAUAUUCUGAGUGGAAAAGCUAUAUGCCAAAGUCAAAAUGGGUGGGUGUGGAAUUGAUUCAGUUGAUAAGUUCAUAGACUGAAGGGUCCUACCUCGUUUUAAAUUUGUGUAGUUGUUUGUUUUCUCAUUGCCUUUGCCUUAACGUUUGCUUUCUUGAGCGUACAGAUCCAGUCAAAGCCCUCUUUUGCUUAUUCGUCGAUUUCGUUUCACCAUUUUUACCUGAAUGCAGCUUCAAUUUUUUUGUAUUGUUUUCUUCCCACUUUCUCGCAGCUCAUGUGAAAACACAUAACAAACGGAAAACUUUUUUAGAUUUUCAAAAUCUGAAUUUGGUAUAUGAUAUUUUUAUCUUAUUAUUGUUUUUAAAUUAACAUUAUAAAAAAAAAUUAGGGAGGAGAUAUUAAUAUAAUUUUCUCAAAAUUAAUUUCUUUUACAGCGAUAAAAUAUUAUGUUAUUUUGAUUAAAUUAUGUAACAUGUUAAGUAAUAAAAAAAUUAUUAUAUAAAUGCUUUUUUACUGGUUAAUUUUAAAAGCAUUUGUAAAUAUUUUUUAUCAAUUAAAUGCAUUUUAAUCAUUUAUAGGAAUCACUAUUUUUGGAUAUGAAAGAAUUUUAUUUUGUAUCAAAUAUAUUUUUUUAAAACUGUAUUGUUCGUGUAUCAUAACAUGUUCAAUCCAUCUCAUGAACUCAGUGGGAGUAAGGUCACUUCUUGGUUCACUUUUAUUUUAUUUUAUUAUUAAACAUUGGAUUUUUAUUCAAUUUUUAUGCUUAGAGUUUUCAUUAUAACUUUUUUUAGUUCUCUUAAAAAAAUAAUUUUUUUUAAAUUUUUUUAUUAUUAUUUUAGUUCUUGUAGUUUUAAUGGUAAAAUUCAAAUUCAAAUUAAAUAUACGUUAAAAUACAAUAUAUUUAGAUUCUUUGGCUAACUUUUAUAAAAUAAGAAAAUUGAUUUCUUUUUUUUCUUAUUUUAACAUUUCAUAAUUUCAAAUUAUUAUUAAUUAACAUAACAAAUUAGGUGGUUCAACUACUACUUUCAAUCUGGUCAAACGACUUGGUCAAUUCUGCUUUUCUGAAGUUAUUCUUUUUCUACGUUGUGACAUUGUGUGAUUUUAACUAUGUAACGCAUGGAUUAACUGGAAUCAGUUUAAUUAGUGAUUUAAAUUUUUUUUUAUAGAAUUGCGUUAAAUAUUUAAAAAUUGUAAUUUCUUAAAAUUAGUCUUCAUUUUUCCGAUAUAGUAGUUUUUUUAAGGAGAAAUCAUUAAUUUUUAUAUGCUAUUUUAAAAUUUUCAAGAUAACAUUUUUUUUCCAAUUAUACUCUUAUUUCCAUUUUUAUUAGCAUUGAAAAAGAUCAUUUAAAAAAUAAAAGUAAAAAGAGGAUAAUAAGUACUUAUUUAAAAUUAUACUGAAGAUAGAAAAAUUAAAUAUUAUCAUAGAGGGAGUAAAUAUUAAGUAGUAUGUUUUAUGAAAAAAAUGAUUAAAUUACAUUGGAUUGGUUAUAAAUACUAUCUGNNNNNNNNNNNNNNNNNNNNNNNNNNNNNNNNNNNNNNNNNNNNNNNNNNNNNNNNNNNNNNNNNNNNNNNNNNNNNNNNNNNNNNNNNNNNNNNNNNNNUCUAUUUAUCACUAUUAAUAACUAAUAAUAUAUAUAUAUAUAUAUAUAAUAAUUAAAAUAAAUAAUAAUAAACAAUAAGAAACAAAAAAAAUAAAAAAUAAAAUAAAUAUAUAUAUAUAUAUAUAUAUAUAUAUAACUAUCUCAUAUUAUCUUAAAAUAUAUUUAUCUUCACAAAGUGUUGGAGAUCCCACAUCGACGAUUAGAGCCUUUCAUUGUAUAUAAGUGGGUGCAAACCUCAACCCUAUGAGCCGGUUUUAUGGGGUUGAGUUAGGCUUAAAGUUCACUUCGUAAUAUGGUAUCAGAGCCAUUUCGAGCCUAUCCUAGCGAGUGUUUUCCGAUUUUAUGGGGUUGAGUUACUUCGUAAUACAAAGAUUUUAAUAUUUACAUACACAUAAAAUAAAACACAAAAGAAAAUAAUCAUCUCCAUCUUCCUAUUGUGUAGUUCUCUCACCUGCAACAUCAUCUCCUCUCGUGUAAACUCACACAAUCAUUACAUAUUAAAGAAAAAUAUUCAUAAACAAACUACGAUAAACUAUCUAUUUUUAAUAUAAAUUUAACUUUUAAUCAACAAACAUCAUUCACAUUACUCAUGUUAGACUUCUACUCCACAUACUUAGACACUUAACUAUACUUUCGAAAGACUCGUGCAUUGUCUUAGACUCAAAGAUUUGCACCUAUCAUACUACCUCACUGUGAAUCCACACAGUUAUGCGCAUAAAUAAUCUCAAUAUCAUAUCACCUAGUAUGACAAGGUUAAUUCAUAUAUGACCUGAAAGGCCAUGUUAUAUUUCAAACCAAAGCCAAAAUCAUAUGAAUCUCCUUUGACUUUCAACACAUGAUAAUCUUCAUCUAUACGAUUCUAAUAGAGGAGAGUCAUGAUACGUCCUUUUAGACGAAUUCCUAGUCAAUGCACGUCUUAAACAAUCUCAACACGAUAUUUUCUUUCUUAAAAAUACUAUGUUUUGAUUAAGAUUCAUAAUUCACAUUUCACAAUAUCAAAAAUUACACAAUUAAAUUAUACAAAAACUUUGAAUUUUAAAACACACACAAAAUUCAUUAAAGAAUCACAUAAAUAUCUAAUUAAAGGAUUUUUAAAUUAAAUAUACAUAACAUAAAAUUUUACAUAAGUUGUAAUUAAAAAUUAUAAAACAUAGGCUUGUUUGAACGAAAAUCUCUUCAUUUGAGCAAAAUUGAGUAUGGAACUCACUAUCUCAUACUCGCUUGAGCGAGAAUAUUUCACUCAAGCCAAAAUACCUUGAGCGAGAUAAGCAGGUUAAAACUGUAUAAAACUAUUAAAGAUUUAAGUUUUCAACAAAUUAUUUUCAUAAUCAAACAUAUUAAACAAAAAACAAUGAUAAUUCCUUGCUCAGAGAUGGAUAGUAAUUCUACUAAAGCUAAUAUGUAAAUUUGUAAUACCAUCUAUAUAUAUAUUCAACAUCUCUAUCAGCUCUAAUCGUCAAAUUGGUGAGUGAGGAGAUUAGAAUUUUAGAGAGAAUGCAGAGAAAAGAAAAAUGAAACUUCUAGAGAGAUGAUUGUUCUUUUAAAAUGAAACUUGAAUAACUGAAUUUUCUAUUUAUAUACUCUUUUCAUUUUAAUAAUAAAAUAUUCAUAUGUCAUUUAAAAUAUAACACUUCUAUUCUAAGAUUAUUUUCUAAAUUCUUAGAAUGGUUUCCAAUAACGAUUUUGAUGUUAUUAAAAACCUUUUUUUUUUUUUUUUACUUUAGGCAACACUCAACUAGAACACAUUUAUAUAACCAUUGUUUAAACAUAAAAAAGACAACAAUUUUAUAAGUGUGGUUAAGAACUACUAUGACAUAGUUUCUAAAAUCGUUACUUAUUUAUAUCACAUUUUUUAAGUGUUGUCUUUACAACGUGUGAGCUAAACAAUAAAUUUGUGACUUAAAAAUGCACACACAUAAAAGUGGAAAAGACAAAAUUUUUAUCAAAUGUGAUCCAAACCUAAAUGAAAUAGUUAAAAAAUCGUUGCCUAAAGUUUAUGAUAAUGUUGUCUAUCUUUUUUUAUUUAUUUAUAAAUAUGAUCCAAAAUGAUAAAUCCUCAUUUUUUUCACCUUUCAUUCGUCCUGUGAGAUUGAAACAGUGUUAAGAUAUCUGUAUGAACAAACCAAACACGUAUUCCUUGAAGCAUGAAUUCUCAUCUUAUAACUAAACAGUGAUUUAAACAUAUCCUCAGUGACAUUUAGAGUACGAAUUCUCUGAAGCAGUUACAAUCUUGGGUGCCAGAAAAAGAAAAAAAUGAAAAAGAAAGAAUGAAUUAUCUUUUACAAGCUCCAGCGAGGAAGUAAACAAUGCAAGUAAAAAGAUGAUAAAUAUCCAUUUUGCUGACUAUGAUAAAGCUUAUUGUAACGUUGAAGAUAUAGCAACUAAGACGAAGAAGCAGAGCCUGAUGAGUGGUUAUGAUUCUUACAAUACUUGACGCUACUUUCGUCCAUUUUUUCCAGCAUAUAGUGUCCCAAAGAGUGCGUUGUCUCCACCAAAUUUUCCUUGCACAGAAACUCGUUCCCACAAACCCUUUCCACUUUCCCUGAGAAGUCAUGCACAAACACAUGCGUCUUCGGGUUCCCACUCUUCUUGCUCCGGGCAAGCACGCCGGCGGUGAAGAUAGGCGACAUUCUGCCGGGAGCGUCCGGCCAGUCACCUCUUGGACCGUCCACCAAUAUCACAUCCCAAUCCACUUCAUAGACGUGGUUGGGAAGAUCGUUCAGUCCUAACUUGCACUCCGAAAACAGAAGAUUCUGCACUGGCCUGCACUCGUUUCCCGCCUGUUCUUUGGCCGAAGCUAUCAGCUCCUUCAUCUCGCUCCUUUUGGUCGUGUAUUGCACGUCGUAGGCAUCGAUUUCGGGGUGCUUUUCUUCGAAGUAUGCGGCGUAGUACCGGUUUUCGUCGAUGAAAACCGUUCUUCCGUUGUGGUUGAGGGCUUUCCAGAGGAGGGUCUCUGGGGUGAGGCCGAAGACGAGGAAGUUGCAUGGUGAUGGGCACUUUCGGAGCACGUCAGAGAUGGUUUUGAGAUCCGAGUGGGACAUGUGGUACGUGUCAUUGGAUUUUGAGGCGUAGUGGAGGAGGGUGUUGAUGACGGAGGAAGGCAACGGGGUGUUGGUGAAAGUAGAUAAAGGGGCGAAAGAGGUGGUGGCAGUGGUGGAUGAGGUUGUGUCUCUGGUGUAAAUGAGCGUGGCAAGGAAGGCCAGGGUGAAGAAAGAUAUGAAAGCUAGAAGCCAUAGGCGGUUGGAGCUUCCUUGUUUCUGGAUAUAUGGGUGGAGGAGGAUGAACUUUGUGUUGCUGGUAGUGUUCUUCAUGUUGGAGGGGUGAAGAGGUUUUGAAUGAAAAAUAUGUGUUGCUUUGGUGUGGUAGAGCUGCAGAUUCUGAGCUCUGGGGGAGAAGGUUUGAUUUAAAUUAGAAUAAGGGAGAGUGUGAAGGGAAAAUAUCAUUGAGAGUGACCCUACAAUGACCAUAUCCUUGCUUUGAGGUUGUGUUGUAGAAUUGAAAACAAUGUUAGAAGUUGUUUUUGGUGUGUUGAAUUUGGUUUUUUGCUUGAUUUGUGUAGUUGGUAUUCUGGAAUAAACAAUUCCAAAUAUAUGUGUAGUUUAAGUUGUGAAGGAUGGUUUAUGCUGAAGCAAAUAAGGAUGAGGAAUAAGGAACUGGGGUGGUUGGACUUAAGGUGAGAGAGAAGGUGCAGCGACCCAAUAUCUAAUUACAAACUUUAAGUCGCUUUUCCUUCGUCAUAUAAACUUUGGUUUCUAAGUCACCCCUUCGGGAACUUAUGAAAAAAGUAGCUACCUCUGAAGGGGACUCAGUACCUGCUGCAAUUUCUCUCCUUCAAAACCUUCUUCUCACACUUUUUUGUAUUUGGUUAUAUACAACAACGACUUCAAAGUAAAAAGAAAGUGGUAGUGAUAACAUAACUUGGUGAAAGUGAGAAUCCGAAGAAAAGAAAAAGAAAAAACGUGCACUUCUUUCUUCAAGCAAGAAGUAUUCAACUGUGCAACUACUUCUGACUUGCUGAGACUGUAAAGAGAAAAGGAACCAACGGUCAAAGAAGACUAGUUUUCUAGACACAGCUUUCUUUAGAAAAGCAAUGUUUAAUUAGUGACAACAAUGUAGUGUGUAUGCAGGUGAAAAAAGUAUUAUUAUUAGUUGCUUGAGGUGAAUUAGGUCAAUGUAUAAAUUUUAGUGGUGUAAAAAAAUCUAAAACUUAGAGUUGUAUGAGGUUUUAUAAGAUAUGAUGUAAAGUCUGUGUUUAAGGCUAAUAUUUUAGACACAGAACAUUUUUCUACCUAAAAGGGUACAAGUUAGUGAUAAUAAUGUAAGUUGGUGGCAAUUAUUACUUUAUAGUUUGAGUUAGUUGUGUGAGCUGAAUUGGGUCAAUGUCUAAAUUUCAGAGUAAUGUAAAUUUUGUGUUUAAGAUGAGUAAUUUUACAUAUAUAAUUUAUUUAAUAUAUAUGACUGGGGCUUAAUUUUCACGCUCUAUACUUUACCCUUUUUAACAAUAAUUAAAUAAUAUAUAUAUAUAUAUAUAAACUUUUUAGUAAAAAUUAAAUUAAUUACUAUACAAUUUUUUUUUUUAACAGUAAUUGUUCUCGAAUGGGUUUGGGGACCUAUAGAACGAUUGUUCCUGCUCCAACACUCUUGAAACUCUUUGAUGCCUGCUAUGCUUCCUUCUCCUUGACCAUCUUGCUCCUUAGGCGGAAUGAUACCUGCAGAAGGCAUUCCAACGCUCAAGUCAGUGGGUAUCGACCCUCGAUUGUCAGAGUACUGUAGAUAAUGACAUACAUUUCUUCUUGAAAUACGUGCUAUUUAUAUUACCUUAAUGGACCUUCACUGUUGGAUCAGAUUAAGGGGGUUGGUUUACAUUUAGGGUUGUGUUAAGCCAUCCUUAACCAUGAGUUAACCUUGCUAAUCUGGUCAACCUAUACCAACUUUUUAAAAACUGUAAUAUCCUGGGUUGACUGAAUUAAUUAUGACACAAACUAUCGUUUUUAAUUUGCAUCAUAAUUAGAAAGGAUUAUUAUCGUUUUCAAGUAUGUUAGGUUGAUUUUCUUUAAAAUUUUAAUUUUAUUUAUUUAUUAGUUUGACUAGCAUCACUGGAUUUUUACCAAUUUCACAGGUUUUUGACCGCUUUUUUAGUUGUUUAAUCAAUUUUUUUAGACUGAUUUUAUGGUUCAUUUGAACCACCUACAUUCUAGUCCCAUUAGUCAGUUUGAUCUGAUUUUCAUAUAAUAGAUAAUUCAAAUUGAGUUUUUUUUUAAUUAUCGUAAUUCAACUUGUGUCGUGGCUAAUUUUAUUCCAAUUAAAAAAUAAUAAUUUGUAUCACGAUGAAUUUUAUUACAAUUAAAAUGUUUUUUUAAAAAAUAUGUUGGAUAUAAAAUUAAUUAUUUAACUUAAAUGUAGUUUUGUUGCUUAUCUUAAAAAUAUUUUGUCCAUGUAAUUGAAUUAUCGACACUAGGGAAACACAGACGUCUUUGUUUAUAAUAAUAAUAAUAAAUAUAUAAUUAAAAUAUUAAAUAUUAUAAUUAUUAUUAAAAUACAAUUAUUAUGAAAAUAAUUGAUAAAAUAAAUAUUUUUUGUUACUUAUAAUUUAUUAUAGGUAAGUUUUAUGCAUAUCAUUACAUAAAGGAGAUAUGUUUUUUUAUUCGUAUAUAGUGUCAUCUUUUAUUUAAAUGUUUUUUCUUUAAAUUAAAUAAAAGGGAACAUAUUUUGUUUGUAACUAUUUUUGUUCUAACUUUUAAUUAAAAAAUUAUCUUUAAAUAAAUAAAUAAAUGUUUUAUUUAAUAAAAUAUGCACAAUUACUUUAUUUAAAUAUAAUUUGCUAUCUUUUCCACUUAAAUUAUAUAUACACGUAUAUAUAUUAAAUUUAAAUCAUUAUUUUAAAUUAUAUAUUUUUAAUUUAUAUUAUUUAAAUUGAAAAUUGCAUAUAACAUUAAUGAGAGCAUGUAAACUAUUUAAUAGAGUUAACAAAAUGAGUUAUAUUAAUAAGAAUAAAAUUAAUAACAAAUUAUAUAUACUAAAAGUGAUUUUUUUUAAUAAUUAGUUAUAGUUAUCCAUACACAAGUUGUGUUUCUUAUAAAGGGUUUUUUUAUGAAAAAAUUGAAGAUUUAUUAACUUAUAAAUAGUUGAAGAUUCUCCACAUUACAAACUAUAUUCAUAGUUUAAGUAAAUUUUCUGAAUUAUUCAUUUUGUAAAAGAUUUUUAGAUAUAUUAUAUUCCGAUUCACUAUUUUAUUUCUCUAUCUUUCAUAUUGGUUACAUCCAAAUAUAUUUUCGGGUUUAUUUUCCAAAACUGUGAGGAAACACUGUCUAAAAUGUUCAAUCACUAUAGGGUGUUUCUUCCUGCACCCCAACAAAUCUCUUCCUGCACUCCAUCCUUUUUUUGAAAAAACUGUUUUACUUGUCUUAUGGAUUUUUCAUUCUGAAAACACCAUGGCAAUUGCUUCCUGCACCAUAGCACUGCACCCGAUCUUAGCUGAAAAGACGAAACUGUCCUUAAAAAAAAUUUCCGAAAUAUGUGUUCCGGAUAUUUUUUUCCGGAACGAAAUUUUAUAUUACGGAUUUUUUUAUCCGGAAUUGAUUUUUUAUUUUUGUUUCCGGAUUUUUAUUUCCGAAACACAAUUAUUUCUUUUCCAGAUUUUUUUUUUUGGAAUGUAUUAUUUUUCAAUUCCGGAUUUUUUUGUCCGAAAUAGAAUUUUAAUUUUGGUUUCUGGAUUUUUAUUUCCGAAACUCAAUAAUUACUUCUGGAUUUAUUUUUCCGGAAUAUAUUAUUUUCAAUUCCGGAUUUUUAUUUCCGGAAUUAAGGGUAUUUUUGGAAAUUAAAAAAAUAUGUUGGGUGCAGGUUAAAAAUGAUUGGGUGCAGGGAGCAUUUGCCAAACACCAUUUGCUUAUGGAAACUCUAUUUUGGAAACAUCUUUUGUUUAUGAAACCUCUGUACUGGAGUCACCCAAAAAAUGCAAGGAUAAUAUUGGCAUUUUAAAAAAUGUAGGGUGCAAAAAAAAUGUAAAGUUAUAGAAAGAAACAGGCCUUAUUAUAAUGCAGAUUAUAAGAUGGAAGGGGAUUGGAAACUAGGCCUUUUGGAAAAACAAGGCCCAAUAAUUUUACGAGGUUCAUGGUAGGCUUUUUUUCUGUACCCCCAAAAUUACUAACUUACUAACUGCACCUCCAUGUUUUUUAAAAUAACCAUUCUAUUCUUCAUAAUGGUGACUUUUGAAUUACGUAUUUCAAAAAAACAUUUAGAACAAGUUUUUCAAAGUAAGUUUUCUAUGAACAAAUUCAAAACAUGAGAUAUUUUCUAGAACAUAUAUGUUUUUUUGAAAAAAACUUUUCAAAAACACAUGGAUGUUUCUUGAAACAAUAUUUUUAGAACAAGUUUUUCAAAACAUGAGAUAUUUUUCUAAAUAAUUUUUUUGGGACAAACUUUCCACCUAAUCCAAUUAUUUUUCUUCUACUUCAUAUUCUAUUUCACACUUUUACUUAAACAAGAUAAAACAUUAAAGUGAAAGUGCCAAUAUAAUUUGUAAAAUAUUUUUUUAAAUUGAUAUAAUCAAUAUAUAAAAAUGAUUUUCUUAAAUGUAUUUAAAAAUAUAUAUUACAAUUUAUAUAUAUUAAUUAAAAAAUUACAAGAAGACAGACACGUCAAUUUAUAAUAAAUAAAAUUUUGUUUUGUAAUUUUAAAUAUCGUUUAAAAAUAGAAAACAUAUUCAAAAUUUGACUAUCCGACACUGUUUUAAAAACAGGUCUACUUGUGAAAACAAAUUGAAAACGUUUGGUUUUAUGAACUGUUUUGGAAAAUAAAUUGUUUAAACGGGAGGUAUAGAAAAAGAAAAAAAAAAAGAAAAAGCCGACGAAAGGGGCACGUGAUGGCGUGUGGGGGCAUGAUAGCGUGAUUCUCACGCGUGAUAACGAUAAGAGAGUUUUUGAAUCCCUGACGAGAGAGAAUAUAAAGGGAUCAAAUGAGUCUGCGGUUUUAGAUGAAAUCUGGAGCGUCGGUUUUAUUGUGGAGAGAAGCGAGCGGUGCAGAAAACAGAGUUUGUUGAGUUGAGGUUGUAUUUGUACUGGAGGCAACUAGGCGGAGUGAGAGAGUGAGAGAGAGAGGGUAAGGUAAAAUCAAUUGUUUAUACUAUUUACUCAUUCAACUAACAAAGAUAUAUAAAGCCAGAAAACCACCAUUUUCAUUCCUACCUCUCUCUCUCUCUCUACUCUGCUUCUUCAGAUUUCAGGAGCGGAGAAUCGACACACACAGAGACAUGUCUGGUAUCGCUCGUGGACGUCUUGCUGAGGAGCGAAAAUCAUGGCGGAAGAACCAUCCACAUGUUCGUAUCCUAACACUUCCCCCUUUUUUUUUUUUUCUCUGCUUAUUUCUCGUCAAUUUUUCGUAUUCCCCUUUCCUUACAAUCUAUCUUUGUUUCUCUUAAUUUAGGGUUUCGUUGCCAAGCCCGAGACUCUCCCCGAUGGCACCGUCAAUUUGAUGGUCUGGCAUUGCACUAUUCCUGGCAAGACUGGGGUGCGCUUUUUCCUCUUUUAUUGUGUCCCCUUCUUCAUACUCUUUCUCUGCUUUUAUAUUCAAUGCUAACAUGAAAUAUCUUUGACUUUUUCUUAUCAAUUUUCUACUUGUUGCUUGUCUACAAAAGUUUAGUGAUUGGAAGUAAACUAUAGGGCUUGAUCUUUCCCACGGUUAAUAAUAUAAUUUCAGGUUUAUACAGAUUCAGUUUGUUUAACAUGCUAGUAAUGGUGUGCCCUCUAGGACUUUUGUGCUUUAGAGCCUUUCAUGUUAUGAGGUGCUUUUCUUAUCAGUUUUAAUGGAAUUAUUGGUGGUAUGGACGGCGUAAAUGUAAGUUUGUGCGGCGCAUGGUUUGAGGAUGGUAAAAAGUUCUUUGGAACUCUUCUAGUCGUGUGAUGCUUCAGGCUUAAGCCUUACAUAUAAAUUUGAUAGUAAAGGCACAUGAUAAGAAGCUUGAGAAAACCGCACCAUAAAAUCUGACCAUCCUGGCUAGAUUUUAAAUAUGUAUUGACCGUAUCAAUCCACACUUCCGUUAUGGGUCCAGGGUUUUAAAAGUGCACUAUAUAGUGCCGCCAUGACAGCAAGGCACUCCGCUGCAUGAACAUCAGAGAGGCGCUCUGUUAAUUGAUCAGCUUAGCGGAGCAUUUAAUUUUGUCUUUUCACAGUUGGAAUAGCAGGAUUUAUGAUGUGAUAGCAGUGCUCCAAUGAGUGUUGUGCCUCUUCCUUUAGGCUAUUUGAUCCAAUGUUGUCAAGAUCGCGAGUUAACUCGCCGAUCUUGCGUUUUUACGAUCUUUUUAGGCAAAAACGAGUUGGAUCGAAGGUGAGAUCGGACCCUCUCUGGAUCGGAGCGAUCCAGUAAACCAAGGGUUGGAUCGAACGAUCCAUGAGCUUCCGCGAUCCAUGACGCGGUCCAAAAAACACCCUAAUGCGCCGCUCGUGCUCGCCGCCGCCUUCGCGCACCACCGCAAACGCAUGAUGUGACGUCGGCGAAGCAUGAAGAAGGAGCUGUGGUGGCGGCGCCGCGCGUAAGGAAGGAGGAGCUGCGACGGCGCCGCGCAUAAGGAAGGAAGAGAUGCUGGCAGCACAUGUCUAAACCUAAAUUUUAAGAGACAUAACUUUGGGCCUAAGGCCCAUUUCAAUUUUAACCUAAUAAAACCUAAUUCAAAAUUUAAAUAUGAGAUGUGCUCUCUUAUGUGCAGCUGGAACCCUAAUUAAAAUUCACAGCUUAACCCUAAAUAAAAUUAACAGCUUACUCAAAAUUAGGUUUUUUGGGCCCAUCUAAAAAAUUACAAUUAUUUUCAUCUCCAACACAUUUUCUUAUCCUAAAUAAAAGUAUGGCUUACUAAUUUGGAUCGUUUAAUGAAUUAUCUUAUGUAUAGAAACUCGAAUAGUAACUCUUCCGAGUCGAAUUACGAUCUCCGAGUUACGAGUUUUUUUUCCCUCUCCGAUCCGCCUCCGAGUUACGAGUUUGACAACCUUGAUUUGAUCACCUCAGCCCUUUCACCAUCUUCUAUCGAUGCCUCCCUUCCUUGCAAACCUGUAUACGCAGCACCUAGUGAUACACUUUAGGGUUACACAGGAAAGGAAGUAGGGCUGGGGAACUGGGCUAAUGGUGACCCAAACGUUUUUUUAGUGUUUUUGUGCUAGGCCUAUGGGAGAAUUUUUUAGUCCAAUUUACCUUUCUUAAGAAAGUGAAAUUUAAACCUAACUCAAUUUCUCAAAACUGGUUUGAUAAGGUGAGUUUUAAACCUACUUAUAUAUAUUAUAAUUUGGUCAUAUUUAUAGUUGAUGUAUGAUUUCCAACAUACACCCCAUGUUGAAGAUUGAACAUCUUGAACGUGAGACUAGGGUGGAACUUGAUAGUCGAUGACAAAUAGACCCAAUAAACUUGACUAGGAUAGACUCUUAAUGACUCCUUUAUUAUCUUAAGAAAGUGAAAUUUAAACCUAAUUUAACAUCAUAAUUUUUUUUUGUAAUGUGAAGUUUGCACUCAUUUAUAUAUUGUAAUUUGAUUUUAUCUCUUGUUGAUGUAAGAUCUACAACACACCUCUUCAUUUUUAGGAAUCGAAAUUUUGAGCAUGAGACUAGAUAUUUGUUGGUAGUCCAAUUGUUGUCUGAUAACAUGUGACAUCUCAAGAAAGUUGAAUUUAAAAUCCAACUUAAGCUUACAAAGUCAACUUAAUAAUUUGAUGUAAUAUUAUAAUUUAAUUAUAUAUCUAUUUGGGAUUUGAAACAAACUUCUUUGUGUUUUUUAUUUAUUUAAAGCUCUCUUAUAAGGUAAUGAACUAAAUAAUAAUAGUAACUAAAAUAAUUAUAUAAACUAUUUAAAUAAUAACCACAUGAAGCCUGACUGAUCUCCUGCUUCAGAAAGAGCAUCAAUAAGGGCUUUGAUGUGAAAUAUGUAUUCUUCAAUAGUGCUAUUUUCUAGUAAUGAAUGACGAAGUUCAGAUAUGAGUUUUCUCACUCUGACACAAGUUUGCUGAUGGGAAUAAGAGUGCAUUUUGUCCACACUUUAUAAGAAUGAGUUGAUCCAAGAACCCAGGCAAGCAUAGAACUCGAUAAGGAGACAAUUGAAGACAUGCUAGAAGCAAUUGGUCUUGCUUUUCCAAAUCUAGAUACACUGGAUUUAUGUGAUUUUGAUCACAACACAAUUACUUUUAGAAAGAAAGCACGUAGGAAUAGAAAGAAAAACAACAAACUGAUGAAGGCUAUGUGCUUUUAUAACGGUUUCAAUUUGCUGUCGUCACAGUAAAAAAAUACUUUUCGUCUACCUUUUCAGUUAUUUCAAGAAAAAGUGGUUGGAGCAGAGAUCGAAAUCAAGAAGAAAAGUCACCAUCAAUUUUUUUUGUAAAAGCCAUGAUAAAAGAUCAAUGUGCUAUGAUAUCAUGAUAUAAAACACUGAUAAACUGAUUUUAUGAUGUAAAGAUCAAGGAUAGUGAAACUCUGUUUACAUAAAACUAUAUAUAUAUAUAUAUAUAUAUAUAUAUUUAUACACACACAUAGCUUAUUUACAAGGCAAGUUAGUCAUAACCAAUGAAGUCAAACUCGUAACUCGUACGAGGAUCGAAAAGGAGCUAAAAGAUCGUAAGUCGACUCGUUAGAGUUACUAACAUAAUAAUAUUCAAUACAUAACACAACUGAAAACAGUUUUCAUAAAUCAUAAAUUAUUCAUACAAAAAACAACUAACUUCACAAAUAUCUAAUACAAUUAAACUAUCAAAGGAAAUCCUUCAUAUUAAUUGAAGGAUAAUCAUCAUCCUCUUGUACAAGAUCUUCAUUUUUAUUAAUGUUAUCUAUGCCAUGACCUUCAUCAUCCUCAGCAAUUGGAGGAACCUUUGAAGUGCAUGCAAGAUGAUGCUUUAGUCUAUAGAUAUCCCCAGUUAAAAUCUUGUCACAAUAUUUAAACUUCACGUUUCUUGUUUUUCCAUCAAUAGAAACACAAUGAUUCCAUACAGGGUCUUUUUUGAUACCGUCACCACCUCCUGAAUCUAUAAUAAAAGGCAUUGUCUUAGAGAAAAAAAAACUGAACACGGUGACUGUGAUGGAGAAUGAGGGAGAAGAGGAGAACGUGAGCAGCAGCAGUGGCGUUGCGAGCGGCGGAGAUGGCGUUUGCGACAGCGGUGCCGGUGGAGUUUUGUGGUGCGAUGCUUGUUAUCUCUUUAGGGUUUCUGAUUGUGACUCUUUCUUCACUAACUUUCACUCUUCACUCUACUCUUUCCCGCUACACUCAUUUAGAAAUAUGAUUUGGGCCGCAUUGGGCUGCGCUAGGUUAAAAUUUUUUAGAGCAAACAACAUGUUGCACUAGGGUAUGAGGCAGCUCGACGAUGGCCUAUGAUGCGGCGAUCCACUGAGUUGGGCAGCGACGCGGUACAAUCUGCUCCGGUGCCGAUCCGCCGUCUGAGUCACCUCGGUUUGGCCUCCAAACUCGCUGCAUCGUACGAUUUUGCGAUUUUAACUACAUUGGUGGUCAUAACUGUUUAACUAAAACAGUUAACCACAUAGAAAACAAACUAUAGUAACUGCCUCAAACAGUUACACUAAACCAAAACAAAAAAAGACAGUUGUAAGAACAUAACUAACCAAUAACAUUGUCUAACAGAAGAUACAGUCACAAAAUUAAACUAAAUAGUAAUAGUACUAAAAACUAAAAGGAUGACAUAUAAUAUUGAAUUACUAUAAUAAACUAAAAUAGUAAAUGGUAAUAGUAAAGAAAGUUUUCUGAAUAGUGAGUGUCCCACUUUAGUGAUUGUGUCACCUGCUUCUCUGUAUUGCUAUCCAAGAUUUAAAACACUGUAAGGGUCUUAAGUCCUGUACAUUGGUAUUUAGCUAUAUAUUGGUUAAUAGUUAACAUGGUAUGUUAGAAAAAGAGUAACAUCAUUUCCCCUUAGAUGAUUUAUGUGCUGAUUUUUUCCAUCAUUUGGUUCAUUAGGUGGAAAAUAGGAUUUUUUCCAUUAUAUUCUUGUUCGUUCACAGUGGCAUUAUGUGCCUUCUUGGAUGUCCUGUUUUUUUAUUUAUUUUGGCAUAUGAUUGGAAGAAAUUUCAACUUAUAGUUUUACUUAACACGAAAAUAGAGACAGCAGGAUAGAAAACAAGAAGUGGGACAGUGAAGGUGUGAUGGAUUACACAUUGAACGUGGAAUCUAGUAAGAUUUAAAUGAGUGUGAUAAAUUAACAAAUCUACCAAAGAAAUCUAGUUUGUACAAUUCAUCUACCAAUGAUUUUAUUGGGGGUGAUUUAUUGUUAAAUGAUGCUUAUCGUAGUAGUGAAUUGUGUGGAACAGUGGCGCUAUCUUGCCAGAGCAUCGAGCUACUCCUCUAAGGGCCUUUAUAUUGUGCGUAGCCAUCAUGGCGACGACAUUUUUCACAUCCCACAUUUAUUUGCUGUGUGCUGCUAGUUGGCUGUGAGAAAAGUGUGUCAAAAAGAUGAUAUGAUUCACACCAGACAAAGACUUUUAGGAACCUAACUAACAACACUGAACAGUUUAUCUGUUUUAAACUUUAGCCAUUUGUGAUUUAGAUCAAUGACGACAACUUGUUUUGACUGGACCUUCAUAGUUUCAUUUCAAGAAUGGAUGGAUUCACAUGCUAGUUUUUAAUUUUUAUCUGAAUCAAAUAAUAAUAUAAAGUUUUUUUUUUCUAAUCAAUUUUAAAUAAAAUAUUUUUUCAAUCAUGAUGUUUUAGCUUUAGAAAAAAAAAAUCUUAAUUAAAAUAUUUUAAAAUCUUAGGCUUAAAUUAAUAAUGGGAAAGCCAGAACUUAAGAAAAAUUUUAAUGGCAGAACUUACUUAUCAUUGUUUAGUAUCAAAUAGAAAAUGUUCAAUUGAUUAAUUUGUGUGUGAUAGUUUCUUUAUUGCAUUUAGUUUGAAAUCUAUUACUAACUAAUCACUGUAAAAUUUGUUAUAACUUUUCAAAUACAGAUUGGUAAUUGAUAUAUUGAAUGUAGAAUAUUUAUUAUAUAUUUUGUUAUUUUUCUAUUAUAUUGUGAUAUUUAUCUGCUAUAGUUGGGGCUGUUGAUCCAUGCUAAUAUCUGCUAUAGACUACUUUGACGUCUACCAAAUAAAUCAGGUCUGGAUGUCAUGUAUCCGGGUAAAAAAUAUAUCAAACAUAGUAGGGAAUUAAAAAUAACUAUUGUUGUCAUAUAUAAUCUCUGCUUGCACCAUAUAAUCAAGAAGAGAUAGCAUUACGGAAGUUUAAAUAGAUUUCCUGUAUUUUACUUUACAAGGAUUGGGAGUAGAAAUCCUAUUUCUAUAAUACUUGUAUAUAUACCACAAGGGAUUAGAUUUGCAAGUGAAGCUUGGACUUAUAUACAAACCCAUCAACACCUCACUAACAAAAAUCAAAUCCAAUUACAACCACUACAAAAAUGCAAUAACUACUACUACAUAAUCUCUAGCACUGUAAGUCUAAAAUUAAGUAUUGUAAUAACUUUUUCUAUAGCUUCAAAUUUUAUGCUAGUGCAGUCUGCAACGUUUACCUUAUUUCUGAUCUAGUGGCUAUGAAAACUUUUGAAAGUUCAAUGCGUAGUCUACAAAACAAAUAUAAUACUUGCUUUGAUCAUUUAAACAUUGUUAAACAUAUAAAUAGUUGUCUAGAAGAAUGAUCAUCAUUAGAAAACAAUGAUUUCAUACCUUUUAGGAAUGAAAAGUAAAGAAUUUUUUACUAGGACCAAAAUCGAAUUCACUCAUUUUAUAGGGAGUGAAAACAUAUUUAAGCAUCACAUUAAUGUGUCUAGUUGGAUGAGAACCAUAUAUAUCCAUUAAGCAAGGGGGAAGGAAGGAAAAUAAAUGGCAUCUUGGUAGCUUAAUAUGGGAUUUUUGCAUUUAACAUGGUCAAGGUCAUGGAAAUUACUCAAAAUAUUUGAUCCCUAAGAGCUUAUGUCAUUGACUCAUGUUAUGUUGGAUUAUAUUUGCAUAUGAAUGAGCAAGACACUUAUUUAUUUCAUUAAAAUUAUUCUGUAUCUCACUUGUUGCAGACUGAUUGGGAGGGUGGAUAUUUCCCACUGACAAUGCAUUUCAGUGAAGAUUACCCUAGCAAGCCUCCAAAGUGUAAAUUCCCUCAAGGUUUCUUUCACCCUAAUGUGUAUCCAUCUGGAACUGUUUGCUUGUCUAUACUUAAUGAAGAUAGUGUAAGUAUAUCCUUCUGAUAAUUGCAUGAUUUCUUGAAGCUUGUAUGAUGUGAUUCUACAUGCUUCUGAGUGUAUAUAUAUUUAUAGAAUCAUUCUUUUACAUUUAGGGGUGGAGACCAGCUAUAACAGUGAAGCAAAUUCUUGUGGGCAUCCAAGACCUGCUUGACCAACCAAAUCCUGCUGACCCUGCUCAGACAGAGGGUUAUCAUCUAUUCAUCCAGGUAGCUAACCUUAGAAACCCUACACUUUUUACCGGGAAUUGUAUGACUAUAGUUGUUUGCGAAGAGUAAAGAUGGGCUGGCAUAAUUAAUCAACGCAAAGACCGGGUUGGGGUUUCAGAUUUUUGUUAUGCAUUCAUUACCAGAGUUGAGUGCUUAUAAAUAUUUUUGUGCAGGAUGCGACUGAGUAUAAGAGAAGGGUCCGGCAGCAGGCAAAGCAAUAUCCACCUCUUGUGUAGUUCUAUAUUUGCCCACUUUAGGAACUAUUCUAGUAUGUUAGUCGUUCAGUUAUUUGUUGUCCUGUGUUAAAACUGUUCUGUGAUUGUUGGCUGUCAUAAUAUGCAGACUCCAGGGUUUAACUAUUUCCGCUUACUCUCAGGUCUGGAUGAUAACGUGUUAAUAUAUUACAAUCUGAAAGUCAACCAAUAAUACUUGUUGGCCACACUUUCUGUGCCUGAUGUUCGUUGGUACAUUUCGAUGUGAAUGGAUAAAUUUACUGUCAUCAAUUAUAUGAUAUUAUGACUCCUUAUUCUGCUUUUGUUUCUAUAUUGGAAAUCAAACCUAGACCUAUUAGCCAAUUCAUUUGUGCUCCCGUUGCAGUAUAAAUUAUCACUGCGCUUUGGUGGCAUAUGCUGUGGAAGCACCUUGGAAAGUGAGAUGUUACUAUGAACAAUCGUACAACAAUCAUUUGGGAAAUGUGUUGUCUCAAAUUAAAAUUCCCUUCUCCUCACAUGAGAACUUUUUAAAUUACAAAGUUUUUAAUCAUAAAUUGUUUUAUUUUAAAUUCCUUGAUUAAACUCAGCAGAUCCAAAAACAUUGCUCUCAUUUUUUUUCUUGUUCUUCUUGAUUCAUCAACCACAAAAAUAUAAAUCACUCCCGUGGGCUCCUCGCACAAACAAUUCUACCUCAAACACUCUACUUUUUUUAUUCAACUCAUCAAAUAAAAACAUUACUAUAAGUCAACUGUUCAUCGGACUACAUAAAUCUACUAUAUUUCUAAUCAGGGUGGUUACUGGGAUUGAGGAUUUAAAAGAAUUUUUUACUAUUAAAAAUCAUACAGAAUAUAAUGUGUUGUUCCUAUCAUUACACGUCUCAUUCGACUACCUCAGAAGAAUUAAUCCUGCUCGAGCUAUUGUGACAAGUGUUAGCCUGAAGUUCACAUUAAAAAAUAUAUUUGAAGCGUAUAAAGAUGAGAGAAAUAUAUUUUCAUUUGUUACAAAUUUCUCUUGUCUAAUUCAUUCUUAAAGAAGCUGUAAUUUUCAUUAUAUAUAUUUUUUUACACUUUUAUUCUCACCAAGAGGAUAAUUUAAUGAAAAAUAUAAGUAGUUAUUAUUAAAUAAAGUGUUAAUUUCAUCUUUACUUUUCAUUUAAAUUAUUUUUAAAAUAUAUUCAGAAAUAUAACAUUUCUAAUUAUGAUAAUCUGAUUCUUGAAAAGGAAGCACGAGUAUGUCAAACAAACAUUUCUUAAUAUUUGUCUUUUCUUUAUUAUUGUUGUUUUCGUUGUUGGUUUUCUUGUGCCUCCAUUGGUUCUUCACCGCUGCUAGUCGCCGUUGUUGCUGUCGUGAGCCCACCGCUGCUUUUCACCAUUUCCUUCACGCACAAGCUUUUCACCAAGUCCGAAAAAGAAGCAUGAUGUUCCCAUUGACGAUCCUAUAGCUUCCUUAACUGCAGCUACUAAAGAGAUUAGUCAAAAUCCUAUGGACAUUGCCACUAUACAUAUAAAUGUCAGAUUUGAAGGAGUUGAAGGAGGGUCCAAUACAACGGCUAUGGUAGAAGUUGUCAUUUUAGACUGAAUGCAACACGACGGUCAAAUAGUCGCCUUCUUUGCUUGAAGAGAAUACUAUGCGCUAAAAUACAACAGUCAGAAAACUGUCGUUUUAACACUAAAAUAAUCAUUGUUUUUCACCUUUUUCCGCACCAGUGGUAAUUGGGCAUCUUCUGGACCCAACAUGCAACUUCAUACCAAGAAAGGUCUAAGCAAAAGGAAUUUUAUAUAUUAAAUAUUUUUUUAUUUAAAUAGGACAUUAAAUAAUUUAGGAUUUGUAAUUAUUUUAAAUUUUAAAUUUUUUAUAUAUUUUAAAAAUUUUAUAUAUUUUAAAUUUAAUUUAAAUAGGACAUUAAAUAAUUUAAGAUUUGUAUUUAUUUAGGAUUUUGAAUAUUUUAUAAAUUUUAUAUAUUUUAAAAAUUUAUUUAAAUAGGAUAUUAACUAAUUUAAUAUUUUUAUUUAUUUUAGAUUUUUGAAUAUUUUAGAAAAUUAUACAUUUUAGAUUUUUAUUUAAAUAUAACAUUAAAUAAUUUUUCUGACAAUCAUAAAUAUGUUUCGACAUAAUCCACAUUUUCCCAAAAAUAAUUCUUUAGACAUUAUUGAAAAUAAUAUUUUAGUUAAAAAUUAUUAUAAUCCACAAAUAAAUAAAUAAAAUUAAUUUUUCAACAAUUUUAAAUGAAAGGGUAAAUUUUUAAUUUUACAAAAAAUACAAUUUCAAUCACACCCAUCAUAUUCUUCAUAGUUUUCAUUGUAUUUACCUUAAUACAAUAAGAGUCUCCUUCACUUCCCACUUUCUCUUCAAAUUAUCUUAAAUUCACUCUCUCAAAUCCACUCCAUUAAAAAAAAAUAAAAAUCACAGUUUUUAAAAUAUCAAAUAUUAAAUAUAAAUUGGUCUCUUUUCAAAUGAUUUUAUUUUUAAAUAUUUUUUUAUUGGACAAUUCAAAUUUAGUGAACUUUUACACGUUUUAAAUAAAAUAUUUUAAUACCAUCGAAUUCAAUAAAUUACUUAAAUAUUAAAUAAUUAAUAAAAAAUAAAAAGAUUUAUAGUUAGUUUAUAUUAUUUUUCUAACAAAGUUCAUCGAAGUUUUCUUAAUUAAUAUUUAUUACAUUUUUUCUCUAUUAAACAUAGUUCAUGUUUACCACCACGAUGAUAUCAGUCAAGGUUACUGUUACACUAUAUAUGUUGAUGAUUGGUGGGUUUUCGUAGACUUUUUUGUUGUUGUUGUCCACUAAAAAUCCUCCCAAUUGAUAUUGAUAAAAACAAUGAGAUAAUGUUGAUCGAAAAGUUUUUAAAUAAAAUGGUAGUGAUGAACACAAGCAAUGAUUCUAUUCUAACAAUUUGGAUAGAAAAAAAAUGCUAUUUUGAGAAGUAAAUAUCACAUUCGACUAAAAAUUAUUUUUCCUUCCAUUUUUAAGAGUUGUAAUUACUGUAAUAUAAAGGAAAUGACCGAGGACUCAUUUGGAUAGCAGAAGAACUCACUAACAACAAUAACAAGGAAAACAGAAACAUCAAUAACAAAACCAUGCACUCAACAGUAAUUAUUUUAAGAAUUUCAAUUCUUAAAAUUAUUUAAUUUUAACCCUAUUUUUGUCAUAAAAUGUUAAAAAAGGCAGAGAAGCUUUUUAAAAGUAGACAUAAUGGAAGAAAGUACUCUCUUUUUAUUGAAUAAUAGAUGACUAUUAUAUAGCCAUUGCAGAAUAAAUAAGAAGCUAAACAUAUCAUAACUAUCAACAACUAACAAUGACAACACAAAUUGGGCAGAACUAACAAAUUCUAAAACUGCAUAAUAAUAGUUAUUUAUUUUGACUGAAGAUAAAACACCAACUUCUAUAAAUCUUAACAUAAAAGUGGUGGUCUCAAGGAGUGGGUGUGGUUUUCUGAGCUUUGGAAAGUUUGAUCUGGUUGAGUUCCCGAAUGAGUUCCUUCAUGUUGUUGUGUGAAGAGCCACCAUUUUGUAUAGCUCUCUUUGCAGCAUCGCUUAACGUCUUCGCUCUUCUCCUGAGUUCUUCACUCUCCUCGCUCAUCAUCACACCAAUCGCGUUUCCAAUGUCUUCUCGUUUCACAACUUCACUCCCAAACUGGUUCCAGUUUCUCCACUCUUUGGCCCCCACUGACACUCCAAUUUUCAGCACAUCCACCACCAGCUUCUCAUUGUAAAACUGCUCCGCAAACAGAGGCCACGUUACCAUCGGCAACCCCGCGUUCACGCUUUCCAUCAACGUGUUCCAACCACAGUGAGUAACCAAUCCUCCAAUCGCAGGAUUCUCUAGUAUCAGCAACUGCGGCGCCCAACCCCAUAUCAGAUACCCUUUCUUGCUUUCCUUCACUCUCUUCUCAAACUCUUCCAAAAAAAUUUCUCCUUCUUCAUCCCCGUUGUUUUUCCUCACCACCCAAAUGAAAUCUUUCCCUGAAUCUUCAAGCGCAUGCGCGAUUUCAACAAGUUGGGAGUACGGAAACCUGUUCAUGCUCCCAAAACUCACGUACAAAACAGAACUCUCUGCCUUAGUGUUGAGCCACUUAUGCCACCCUUCUUCUUCUUCAUCUUCCUCUUUAGCGUACCCUCGUGCAGCCUUGUCAGAAGCUUCCUGGUUCGCCCACAACGAAACCGGUCCAAUUCCCCAACUCUUGGUCCCCAUCACAACCUUGUAGUGCUCGUAGUAAGCACUCUCGAGGUCGUAGAAACUGUUGUAAAGAGAUCCGUAGCUCUUUUUUUCCGACUCCUUAAUCGUCUUCAUCAACUCCGUGUAUUGGUUCGGAGAUCUGACCCAAUCCGGCAACUGCAACCGCGUCAUCUCCAACCUAUCCGGCAAUCCAGGUAACACAAACCUGUCGCUGUCGGAUUUCGCCGCAAGAUGGGGUGCGUACUUCUCCACCGCGUGCGCAGCGGAGAGAGCGAGAUAAUUUAUGCAGUGAAACAUGAUCCUGGGAAUUCGGAGCUUGGCGGCGGCUUCGACAGUCCAAGGGUGGAACAUGUCGGUGACGAUGAAGUCUGGUCGGAGGUCGUGGAAGAGCUGUUCGAAGCAAGGUUGGAGAAUGGCGAGACCCAUGUAGAUUCUGGGGGCCAUCUCGGGAGGCGUGUCGACGUUGAACGCUUCGAUCCCCGGCGGAAGCCCCACUUGGGCGGCGGGGAAGUUAACCAAGUGCGUUCUGAUGGAGCGGCCGCGACUGGAGUCGAGGUCGACGGACUUCUGAAAAACGGUGGCGUUUCCCGGCGUGGUGAUUAUGGUAACGUCUAUGCCAUGAAUGGCGAAGAGCCUGGCCAUGUCCACCAGAGGAAUUAUGUGACUAGUUGACAGAAAAGGAAGGAAAACUGACUUUAGGUUUAGCUCACCCUCUUUCCCCAUUCUUAUGCUAAUUCUUAUUCUUCACAACAUAUUCUUCUUAUUCAUCCCUUCCUCUUAUUUAUAUGCUCGGGUUUUCACCCACCUUUUUUUUCAGUUUUCAUUAAAAUGGGAUAACUUUCAAAAAAAAAUUACAAAAAUUUGAACAAGUUUGAAUUUGUGUGAAGUUGACACGACUUCUCACACAUAAACCUUUAAAAUCGUGUCACGACACGAUUUUAUCCAUAUAUAUAUUAUUUUAUAUAUUUUUUAAAAUUUUCUUAUUUAGAUAUUGAAUAGUAAGUUAUGUAAUGUUUAAAAUUAAUUUGAUAGAUAAUUUUCUAAGGGUGUUAGUUUUAAGCAAUAAAAAAAAUGAAUAAUUGUGUAUGGAUCAUGUUUUACGGUAAUGUAAUAUAUUAAUUUGGUUAUUAGAUUAAUAAAAAAUAGGAAAAACAAAAAAAUGUUCAUAUUGCACAACCGAAUGUCACAAUAGAAGCAAUUGUCCGCACAAACAAACUUGAUAAUAAAAUUCAAUUUCAUGUUUGAUUAUUAAUUUCCUCAUUUUCUUUACCUAAGUAUUUAUUCUUUCAUAAAAAAAUUAUUUAUCAAAUUAAUUUCAAAUAUUACAUAACUUAUAAUUUUAAUUAUAAUUAAAUAAUUAUAAUAUAUAUAUAUAUAUUUAAAAACAAAAAAAAUUUUAAAAAAAAAUAAUGUGGACAAAGUUGUAUCAACUUGACACGAUUUCAAGUUGACGUAACAGAAAUCGUGCUAACUUGACACAACUUCAAACUGAUAUGACAAAGUUGUAUCAAUUUGGCACGACUUCAUAUGUAGAAGUCGUGCUAAGUUAACACGACUUGCUCCAGAUUUAUAAUUUUUUAACCGCGACCCAAUUUUGGUAAAAAAGAAAAAAAAGACCCCAUGAUAAAAAAAAAAAAAAAACCUAUAUCCUCUCAUUGUAAACACUGCAAUCUCUUCUUACAAACUAUCACGUUUAUUAAUUAAUAAGUAAACUUUUAACUCCAAUUCAAAAGUAACAAGAUAUGUCACUUCGUACUUAUGAAGCACGUGUCAAUCAAGGCCUUCUUUUAGAGUAUUAUAUUUUAUUCACCGUGUGCCUCGAGACUCUCGGGUACUUGGACCAUUCCCUCUAAGAAAGUUUUCUAAAAUCAUACAAAUAACAUACACUAAAAAAAUAAAUUUAUAAUCUUAUAUUUUUAUCCAUUAAAAAAUUAUAAUUUCAAUCACAUAUAUCACAUCAAUAACAAAUUUUUUAAUUUUUUUCCACAUUUUCCACUCUCUUUUCGUUGAUCUAAACAAUAUUUCUUUUACACUCUUCAAUCAUCUCUAUCGUAGAUUUUAAAAUAUUUAAAUAUAUUAAAUUGAUCUCUUUUUAAGUUAUUUUAUAUUUAAAUAUUUAAAUAUUCUGUAUUGAAUGGAUAAUUCAAAUUCAAUGAACUUUUAUAUUUUUAGAUAAAAUAUUUUAGUUACCAUCAAAUACAAUAAAUUAUUUAAAUGUUAAAUAAUUAUUAAAAAAAUUAAAGAUAUCUGUAGUUAGUUUAUAUUGUUUUUCUAUCAAAGUUCAUGGAAAUUUUCUUAAUUAAUAUCUAUUACAUUUUUUAUCUAUAAACAUAGUUCAUGUUGAUAUCAAUCAAGGUUACUUUUAUGUUGAUGAUUGGUGGGUUUUCGUAGACUGUUUUUUUUUUUCUCCGCUAAAAGAAUCCUCCCAAUUAAUAUUGAUAAAAACAAUGAGAUAAUGUUGGUCGAAAAGUUAUUUAAUGGUCAACAAAAACAGAUUCUAACAAUUUGGAUAGAAAAAGUUUAUUUUGAGAAGUAAAUAUCACAUUAGACUAAAAAUUAUUUUUCCUUUCAUCUUUGUAAUUAUUGUAAUAGGAAGAAAAUGACAUAUAUUAGAUGAUAAAUUUAUUUAUAUGUUAACCGAGAACAAUUAUCAUGAUACUGACAAGGUAUUGAUGAAUAUUGUGGUUGAUUCACGAAUCAGUGGAAGAUAUGGUAGAGGCAAAGGUCGCAGUUUUAAUGGACUAGGCGGAAGGGGAAAUAAUUCCCAUUUUUGUACGUAUUGUGGAAGAAAUAAUCAUAUAGUGGAUACAUGUUAUCAGAAACAUGGUUUUCCACGAGGUUACAAAUUCAAGCAAGGAGCAACAAAAUCUGCUCAUACGGCUGCAUCCGUUAAUUCUUAAGAAGAUGUUACUCCUUUCGAGGCUAAUCCACCCAAUUUUAACAUUCAGAUUUCUCAAGAACCGUACAACAGUUUAAUGGCUUUGAUCCAACAAUUAUCUUGUUAAACUCCUGCUUUGAAUCAUAUUUGUACGUCCCAAAUCAAUUCAGCCAAAUCAAGUAACUUUUCUAAUCAUUGAUUAUUAGACACAGGGCUACAGAUCAUAUAUGUUAUAAUAAAAAUAUUUUCUUCUCCAUUCAUAGUAUUUUGCAUGUCCUAGUCUCUUUACCUAACGAAAGUCAAUUAAGGGUUAACUAGUCUGGUACAACUCAAAUAUCUCCCUUACUCACUUUGACUGAUGUUUUGUAUGCAUCUUCAUUUCAUGUCAAAUUGAUUUAUAUUUCUAAAUUGACCACAAAUCACAAUUGUUUAACCAUUUUUCAACCUUUUAUUUCUUUCAUUAUUCAUACGUUGAUAUGUACAGCUGAGAGAUCACACAAACUUUAUCAAUUGAGGAAUUCUAGUAUCCAUCAGGUGUCACAAACAAAAAUUAGGAUGAGCAGACUUGAAAGUGAGAGUUCGUGUCUUCCAAAUAAGACUGCCGACAUCAACAAAUCUUGUGUAGAUAUUGAUAAUGCUAAACUUUGGCAUUUUCGUAUGGGACAUUUGUUUCAUGAUAGGUUGAAAAUUUUGUCUUCAUAUUACUCAAAUAUUUCCAUAGGUUCUAUUCAUCCUUGUGAUACAUGUCAUUUUGCUAAACAAAAACGACUAUAUUUUUCUUCUAGUCCUACUAAAUCAAAUUUUUUGAUUUGCUUCAUGCUGAUAUAUGGGGUCCUUUUAAUCAUGCUUCCUUUGAAGGGUAUAAGUAUUUUUUAACUCUUGUAGAUGAUUUUACCUGAUAUACAUGGAUUUGUUUAAUGAAAACUAAAGCUGAAACACGCACACAUUUACAAAAUUUCAUCAAUAUGAUUGAAAAUCAGUUUAAUAUUCAUUUGAAAGUAUUAAGAAGUGAUAAUGGUCCUGAGUUCCUUAUGACUGAUAUCUUUAAUAGAAAAGGGAUUGUUCAUCAAACUAGUUGUGUGGAAACUCCACAACAGAAUAAUGUUGUUGAACGCAAACAUCAACAUAUUUUGAAUGUCGCUCGUGCACUGAUUUUUCAGUCUCAAUUACCUCUUUGAUUUUGGUCAUAUGUUGUCAAGCACUCUGUUCAUUUAAUUAAUAAAACUCCUACUCCUCUUUUACAUGAUAAAUCACCAUAUCAAAUGGUUUAUAAUUACAUACCAAAUUUAUCUCAUAUAAAUUUUUUUGAUUGUUUGGAUUUCGCUACUACUAGUAGUGUUCAAAGAACAAAGCUUAAUUAUAGAGCUAGAAAAUGUGUUUUUCUCGGUUACAAAGAUGGGGUAAAAAGUUUUACUCUUUUUUAUAUGAAUCAGAAAAAUAUUUUUGUGACACGUGAUGUUAUUUUUUAUGAAAAACAUUUUCCUUUUUAUAAGGAUAACAUAGAUACCAAUUUGGACACACAUGAUAUGUUUAAGCAUUUGCUUCCUUCUGUUUCUGAUAAUGAUAUUGUUGUGCCUAACUACAUCUGUUAGUGAUAUUGUUUCUUCAGUUUUUGAAACUAUAUUACCAUCCUGCCUUCCUGCUAUUGAUUCUUCUACACCACUACAUUUAAUUGAUAUUGAUGUCUUGCAACACCAACAUUCUGAUCCACAACCUUCAUCUAUUUGAGUUUCUACUCGCUCAAACAAAAACCUGGAUACUUGAAGGACUACCACACUACUUUCUUCUCUUCAAAAGAUGUUAUCAAUCAUUCUUUAGGUACUAAAUAUCCUAUUCAAAAGUAUCCCUCUUAACAUAAUUGUUCUCCUAUAUAUUCUUCUUUUUGUCAUAAUAUUUCUUCUAUCUAAGAACCUAAAUCAUUUAAAGAGGUGAUGCAACAUGAUUAUUGAAAAGGAGCUAUGCAACGUGAACUUGAUGUUCUUUAGUCUAAUGAAACAUGGCAUUUGAUGGAUUUGCCUCUUGGAAAGCAUCCUAUUGGGUGUAAAUGGGUUUUCAAAGCCAAGCAUAAACCAAACGGUGUCAUUAGGUACAAGACUCAUUUGGUUGCCAAAGGAUAUACUCAGACCGAAGGUAUUGAGUAUUUUGAGACUUUGUCUCCGAUAGUUAAAAUUACUACCAUUCGAUUUAUUUUUUCUUUAGCAAGUGCUAAGGGAUGGAUUCUUCAUCAACUAGAUGUGAAUAAUGUUUUUCUUCAUGGCGAUCUUGAUGAAUAAAUUUACAUGACUCCUCCCACAAAUCUUACUCUCUCUCAUCCAACGCAAGUUUGUAAACUUAGAAAAUCUUUAUAUGGACUAAAGCAGGCGAGUCGACAAUAGACUCAAAACUAACUCAGACUAUAAUACAACUUGGUUAUGUUCAAAGUACAACUGAUAAUUCUUUAUUUAUUCGCACAGACAAUCAUUAUUUCACCGCUCUGUUGAUAUAUGUUGACGACAUUAUGUUGGUUGACAAUAAUCUUCAAGAAAUCCAACUUGUUAAAACUCAUCUUCAUAACUCAUUUAGUAUCAAAGAUCUCGGUACUCUUCGCUAUUUCUUGGGAUUUGAGAUAAGUCGUUCACCUUCUAGUAUUAUUCUCAAUCAACAAAAAUAUUAUUUAGAUCUUUUUCUGAUAGUGGUUUAUUGGCUUGUAAACUCGCAUCUUCUACCAUGGAACCAUCUUAUCCUUUCUCCGGAGCUGAAGGUUCAUUACUUUUGAAUCUAGGUGAAUAUAGAAGAUUGACUGGGCGUUUUUUAUAUAUACCUUACUCACUUUAGGCCUGAUAUCAAUUUUGCGGUUCAUAAACUCAGUUAGUUUAUUUCAAAUCCACGAGAACCUCAUAUGACAGCAACUCUUCGUGUAUUACAAUAUUAUAAAAGGAUGUCUUGGUCUUGGUCUAUUCUUUUCCAGUACUAAUCAAAUUGUUAUUAAAACUUUUUCUGAUUCAAAUUAGGGAACUUGCAUUGAUUCUAAAAGGUUUAUCACUAGUUAUUGUGUAUUUAUGGGAAACUCUUUAAUUUCAUGGAAGUCUAAAAAGUAGUCUACAGUGUCCAUAUCUUCUUCAGAGGGUGAAUAUAGAGCACUAGCUUCACUUGUUUGUGAACUUCAAUGGUUACAAUAUUUGUGUCAUGAUUUGCAUACUAAUAUUUCUGAAUCGUUUGUUAUCUAUUGUGACAAUAAAUCUGCUAUAUGCAUAGCAAAGAAUCCCAUGUUUCAUGAGAGGACGAAACAUAUUGAAAUUGAUUGUCAUUUCUUUCGGACUAAACUUCAAGAAGGUCUCAUUCAUUGAAUCUCAGUUUCUUCCACAAAACAAGUGACUGAUAUGUUGACCGAACCUCUCCACGAACAUGAAAUAUAUACAUGAUACAACUUGUGGGGCGCUAUUAGAUGAUAUAAUAUCUUAGAUUUUGAAUUUUAGCUACUCUUUCAGUUAUCAUUUGUAACCACUACGCCAAAAAUUUGAAUUAGCUGCAAAAAAAAUCAAAGGUGGUAUGUGGACUCUAAAUUUAGUCAACUAAGCCUUCACUAUUUAAAAAAAGCGUGGGAAAGCAUGGGAAAGCGUGGGUUAUACCCACGUAAAUUUUAAAAAUAAAAAUAAAAAAAUGGUUGUGUGGGUAAAACGGUCACUACCAAAAAUAUAAAUAAUAAUAAUAAUUUAACAAUUUGAAAGUUAAGCCCACGCUAUCUAUUUUAGAAUUAAUUUUAAAUAAAUAAAGAAAUUGUGUAGGUUAAACUCACACUAUCUAUUUUAAAAUUAAUUUUAAAUAAAUAAAGAAAAUGUGAAGGUUAAGUCUAUGCAAAGAAUUAAGUUUAAUUUAUUUGAAAUGUGCUCAGGGGCGUGGAGAAAAGAGUGAAAGCAUUUUGAAGUUUUCAUCGAAGUCGUCAAGUGCGACCUUGAGCAGAAUAGAGCGUGGGAAGAGUUUGUGAGAACGCGAGAAUAUGUGCGACCGUGAGAACGCGAGAUCACCUGAACGCGUGCGACCAUGUGAACUUGAGAACGAGAGUACGCGACCGUGAUGGAGUAGUCGAGAGCGUUACUAAAAUCGUGAAGAAUAACCCUAUGUUUUAUUCCGAUUUCUUUCUUUCUGUGUGUAAUUUUAUUUUUGAAGGUGUAGCCCUAACGAUUUCAUAAUGAUUUUAUUUUCUCAUCGAGUAAUAAAUAAACAAUAAAAUGAGGUUUUGAUAGGAAAGAUCUAUAUUAUCUCAUCACACUAAAAUGAAAACAAAGCUAUGUUCAAGGGGUUAUGUGAUUGAUAACAAAAAAAACCUAUGCUAAAUGAAAACAGAGACAAGCUGCCUCUAUUAUUUUAAUGCAUGAUGAGCUUUACAUCACACGCCAGAUUCUCUAUUAAUUAAUCACAUUUUGCUUUGGUCCAGCUCUUGUUUUAGUUAAAUCAUUUAAGUGCAACCAUUUCUAUCAAAGUUUUAUUUUGUUAAAUCAUUUAGGUGCAGCCAUAUUUUUCUACCUAUGACAAGUACUGUAUAUUUUUUAUUGUUAAAUCAUCAAAGUCCAAUACUGUCACAGCUGGCAAAUACUGUCACAAGGUGUCAAAACUGUAGCAUUUUAUUUCUUAUGUGUAGUGUGCGCUAGACAGAAAAAAAAUUAAAAUAUAAUUUUAUGUGGUUAAUGUGAAGGCUUAAUCCAUGUUUUUUUUUAAAAAAUUGUGGGCAAAACAUGUAUGUUAAGUGCUGGGAUGCUUAAAAAUUAUGUGGAUCCCAUAUUUUAGUAUAAAAAUAUAUUUUGUGUGGGUAACAUGUAGGCUAACUACACGUGUUUUUUUAAAUUGUGUGGCAAAUGGAUAGACUAAGCCCAUGCUUCUUUAGAUGACAAUAUAAAUAUAAUUUUGUGGGGCGCAUGUGAAGGCUAAGCUCAAGCAUAUUUAAAAAUUGUGUGGUCAUUGUGUUGGCUUAGUCCACGCUUUUUUCAAUAAAAAAAUAUAUAAUAUAAUUUUGUGUGUGAAGCAUGUAGACUAGACCUUACAAAAAAUGGUAUUCCACGCAUCUCUACUACUUUUUACGUUAAAUAUAUUAGCUUCCAAAUUUAAAUAAACUCUAACCACACAAUAAUUAAAUUUUUGCGAACAUUUCUCAUGCAUAAUAUCCGUUUUGGUACAUUCUAAUAAUAAAUGUAUUUCUUGUAGUGAAGUGUUAAAUUUCUAAAUUAGAUGUAUAAAAGUAAUACCACACCAUAAGAGGGCUCAUUUGGAUAAGAGAACAACUCAUAUUCUCAACCAUAACAAAGCCAUCUACUCAGAGUAAUUUUUUAAGAAUUUCAAUUCUUAAAAUUAUUUAAUUUUAGCCUAUUUUCUCAUAAAAGUGGUGGUCUCAAGGAGUGGAUGAGGUUUGGUGAGCUUUGGAAAGUUUGAUCUGGUUGAGUUCCCGAAUGAGUUCCUUCAUGUUGUUGUGCGAAGAGCCACCAUUUUGUAUAGCCCUCUUUGCAGCAUCGCUUAACGUCUUCGCUCUUCUCCUCAGUUCUUCACUCUCCUCGCUCAUCAUCACACCAAUCGCGUUUCCAAUGUCUUCUCGUUUCACAACUUCACUCCCAAACUGGUUCCAGUUUCUCCACUCUUUGGCCCCCACUGACACUCCAAUUUUCAGCACAUCCACCACCAGCUUCUCAUUGUAAAACUGCUCCGCAAACAGAGGCCACGUCACCAUCGGCAACCCCGCGUUCACGCUUUCCACCACCGUGUUCCAACCACAGUGAGUAACCAAUCCUCCAAUCGCAGGAUUCUCUAGUAUCAGCAAUUGCGGCGCCCAACCCCAUAUCAGGUACCCUUUCUUGCUUUCCUUCACUUUCUUCUCAAACUCUUCCAAAAACUUUUCUCCUUCUCCAACCCCAUCGUUUUUCCUCACCACCCAAAUGAAAUCUUUCCCUGAAUCUUCAAGCGCAUGCGCGAUUUCAACAAGUUGGGAGUACGGAAACUUGUUCAUGCUCCCAAAACUCACAUACAAAACAGAACUCUUUGCCUUAGUGUUGAGCCACUUAUGCCACCCUUCUUCUUCUUCUUCGUCUUCCUCUUUAGCGUACCCUCGUGCAGCCUUAUCCGAAGCAUCCUGGUUCGCCCACAACGAAACCGGUCCAAUUCCCCAACUCUUGGUCCCCAUCACGCCCUUGUAGUGCUCGUAGUAAGCACUCUCGAGGUCGUAGAAACUGUUGAACAGAGAUCCGUAGCUCUUUUUUUCCGACUCCUUAAUCGUCUUCAUCAACUCCGUGUACUGGUUCGGAGAUCUGAGCCAAUCCGGCAACUGCAACCGCGUCAUCUCCAACCUUUCGGGCAACCCAGGUAACACAAACCUGUCGCUGUCGGAUUUCGCCGCAAGAUGGGGUGCGUACUGCUCCACCGCGUGCGCAGCGGAGCGAGCGAGAUAACUUGCGCCGUGAAACAUGAUCCUGGGAAUUCGGAGCUUGGCGGCGGCUUCGACAGUCCAAGGAUGGAACAUGUCGGUGACGAUGAAGUCUGGUCGGAGGUCGUGGAAGAGCUGUUCGAAGCAAGGUUGGAGAAUGGCGAGACCCAUGUAGAUUCUGGGGGCCAUCUCGGGAGGCGUGUCGACGUUGAACGCUUCGAUCCCCGGCGGAAGCCCCACUUGGGCGGCGGGGAAGUUAACCAAGUGCGUUCUGAUGGAGCGGCCGCGACUGGAAUCGAGGUCGACGGACUUCUGAAAAACGGUGGCGUUUCCCGGCGUGGUGAUUAUGGUAACGUCUAUGCCAUGAAUGGCGAAGAGCCUGGCCAUGUCCACCAGAGGAAUUAUGUGACUAGUUGACAGAAAAGGAAGGAAAACUGACUUUAGGUUUAGCUCACCCUCUUUCCCCAUUCUUAUGCUAAUUCUUAUUCUUCACGACAUAUUCUUCUUCUUCAUCCCUUCUUCCUAUUUAUAUACUCUCAUUCUAAACAGUGCAAUCUCUUCUUAAGAGAAAAAAAAAAAAUUAUGAUUUUACUAAUUAUAGGGGAUGGAUUUAUAUGAUGAGAUUAAUGAUUGCACGAUUAAACAUAGUUAUGCUGAAGCUGUGAAGCACGAGUGAAUCGAGGCUUUCUUUUAGAAUAUUAUAUGUCACCGUGUGCCUCGAGCCUCUAAUGGGUACUUGGGCCUUUACUUGGGUUAAAUUUUCCUGUUUUGGUGAACACCACCAUUUUUAAAAUACUGAGCAUAUCAUAACCAUGUGCUGUAAUCAUAUGCGUGUAGAUGUAGAUGAUGGUGGCUCUGACAAAAUAGAU